CUGGAGACACCAUCCUCUUCACUCAAAAUAUCGGCACACACAUACGCCCAAUCGCUCGCACACACACACGCAAUCCUCUCCCUUCAUAGCUCACUCAAAAUCGCACACUAAUCCGCACAUACCCAAAAAAAAUAAAGCCGAUUGAGAGAGAGGGUGACGAAUAGAGAGAGAUAUAGUUAUUUUGGUUUCGGGUUUGUUGCUGGAUUUCGACAUUUUCCGUUAGCUUAUUCCCUUCACAGCUCACCGGAGCUUAGAUUCGGACUGGUUUUGAGCUCUCAGUUAGACUUCGGAGACGUUAGUUAUCAUUUGCUCGUCAUUCGUCUUCCGAUAUCGUGCCUUUGAAGGUUUUUGAUACCGGGCUGGUCUAUUUUUCUGUUGCUAUUUUGCUAUGGUUUCAUCGGUCUUCGCUACUGAUUUGAAGAUUAGAAUCUCGUUCGUCUCAAAUCGUUAAUCGUGAUCAGUUUUUUGGUCUUCAAUCUUUGAUACCGAAUCUGGGAUUAUCGCAUUUUGGAUUAUUUCUCGACUGAUUUGGAGAGUCGAGAUUUCGUUGGUAUUCUUCGAGGUUCUUGGACGGCUCUUAUUUCUCUUAUUAAAUCAAUCGACAUCGCCUGAGGUCCAAUUCUAACUUUUCUCUUUUUGAUUUUCUCGUGAUUACAAAUGAUUUGUAUGCUUAAAUGUUUGAGUCCUUGUUUGGGUAUGUGUUCAAUAUUGAUUUCGGAUUUGAAGAAGUAACUUGAUUGUCAAAUUAGUUGUUUGGGGUCUAGAUUGAAAAUUAAUAAUCGAAUAAGUCGAAGGUUGUUUAUUUUGAUUCAUUAUUGAAUAUUGUUGAAUUGGAUAGCAUCAUGAUUAGGCCAUCUAAUGAAUAGGUUAAAGUAGGUUCGGGUAGGCAAAUAUUUAGGAAUAAGUGUUUGCUCGUUGAAUUAUUGAAUGCUUGAAAUGCGUGUUGAAUGGUUUGGUUUUAUUGCUUUUGGAUUGAAUGUAUCAUUUAGCCGGGGAAUGCCCCGAGACACAUUGUAUUUAUUCACUGGGGAAUGCCUCGACGUACUAUGUUGGCGGAAGACGUUCGUGAUGAAGGCCCGAGGCAUCGGGUAGCUUGGGAGCGUAGUUAGGAUUAGUAUAGGUUAGAUAAGAUUUAUUUUUCGCAUUUUAUUUAUUUUGGGUAUGUAUAAUCGGACUGAACACUAUACUUUGAUUCAUUUUGUUUGGUUUGUUUGUUUGCUUUACGUGCUUCCUUGUGAUUUGUACAUUCGUAGUGUCAAAAUUAGCCGAUACGAUCCACCAAGCGUCCGUGGUCGAACCACGGGAUCGAGGGGUGUCUAACACCUUCCCCUUGGUCAACAAAAAUUCCUUAGUCAGAAUCUCUGUUCGCGGAUCAGUUCUAUAGAGUCCAAAUCAUUUUGAAAAGGGAUAUCCAUGGGUAACUUGGCACACCCGAUUUAUGCCAAGUGGCGAAUCUGAGUUUUGAAUAUAAAAGAUCCUUUUCAAAAAAAAAAUUUCAUCUUUUGUCACUUUGAUAAUAAAACCCUUUUGAACCUAAAAUGAAUCUUUUCCGGAGUUGAAAAAAAAGGGGUGUGACAGCUCUGGCGACUCUGCUGGGGAAUCAUUUUUCAAAAUUCGAGCUUAUUUUUUGGAGUUGUAUUGGCUUAGUUUGGCAUUAGGGGUGUAUAGACAUUGUUUGUGUUAUCGUUUGUGUUUAUUUUAUCAUUGUUGAGUGCCUACGUGCUCUUUGUUACAGUUUUUCCUUAUGUGUUACUGCUUUUAUAUCUGGCAUCAUUUGCAUAAUCCGAAUCAAUUCUUUCUGCAAUAAGUCUUGGAGUGCCGUCGUGUACACGAACUCUAGUUGACUCACCUUUAUUUUAGGAGGGGGAGCCGUCGGACGUAUGGAGUGGGUAGAAAGUUGUCGCAGCCACUAUCGACCAUACGCUUUCCGAACAGCCUUGUUAGUAAAUCCAGCGUAGGUCAUCCUUUAGGUCAUGCUUAUGUGCAUUAUAUUGAGACCUAGCGAGGCCCACUUGGUCCUUUGUAGGAGACUCACCUCUAAAGCAUCCCUACAUGCUAAAUGUUGCAUCUUUGAGGGUGAUGUGGUCAUUUGACGGACUAAUUCGGGAAAAACAUGUGUUAGAAGUAAGGUGUGUUUGAAAAAAGAAAAGAAAAGAAAUGAGUCAAAAGGGGUUUCUUUUAGUAUUCUUUAUGGCUUUAGUUUUUCACAAUUCAAAAAUUCAAAAAGAUUUUUUUACCUUUCGCACUCAUUUUCUCAAAAAACAAAAUUUCAAAAAGAUUUUCCCUUUAUCUCCCUUAGCACGCAUUCAUAAUUCACAAAUUCCAAAAAAAGAUUUUCUUUAGAAGUGUCAAAAAUGGUAGUAGUUGUGACCAUUUCAUAAAAAAAAAAAUGCCAAAAAGAUUUUUCUUUCAUAGUUGUUAGUGUCAGUCUUACGUGAAUUGUCUAAAUGAAAACUCGAAAAGAUUUUAUUUACAUUGUUCAUCGUCUGUCUUUGGUCGUGUCUCUUAAGUCAGGUUCAGUUUAUUAUUUAAUCCUCAAUUGUCCAAUCUGGAUGAACAGCACCCCUGAUUUUCCUCUUUCGGGAGUGAGAUACGUAGGCAGCCUAUUAUAGGUUCAGAGACCUUAUUUAAAAAAAGAAAUCCAAAAAAAAAAAAAUUUCUUCACUCUUUAGUUAGAAUAGGUGUUUCAUACAUGUCUUAAAAAGAAAAAUACAAAAAAAAAAUCUCAUUGAUAGCCGUAGGUUUUAUUUUUGGUUGAUCUUACUUUAAAAAAUUCAAAAAGAUUUUUCUUCACUCUUCAUUUAGAGUAGGUGUCACAUAUAUCUUAAAAGAAAACCACAAAAAGAUUUUCUUUUAAUAGGUUCGAGUUUUAUUUUUGCAUAAAAUUCAAAUCUGAAAACCCAAAAAGAUUUUUUUGGUAAUCAUAGAAUUUCACUUCGUAGAGGGGUGUUUAAACCUGAAAAAUAUAAAAAGAUUUUCGUCAAUUCUUGUGACAAAUUGUUAUUUUCUUUUCUUCCUAAAGUUUCAAGAAAAAGAAAAAGAGAAAGAGUUUAAUUUGGCCAUUUUUGGCAAAACUUCAUGAACUACGCACAUCUGAUUCUCCUCUUUCGGGGGUGAGAUACGUAGGCACCCUUUUCGGGUUAGGUGACCUUUUCAAAAUGAAAAAAAAAAAGAAGUUUUCGAAAAAGUGUUGAAUUCUAACACAUUGGUUAUCUCUUGUUCAGUUAGCUUAAGGUGGUUGGUUUGUGGUACUUUGGCUGGCCCUCCAUAUUGCACCAAGUCCAAGAGAAAGUUAUGGCUAACAAAGAUACCGAGUUAGUUGUCACUAAUCAGAUAGGGAGUUCGGGAAAUGAGAAUUUAGGAGCUAAUGAAGAGAUUCAAAAAUUAAGACCGCAAAUAAUAGAAAUGCAUCGAGCUUGGGCUAAUGGGUUGCCGCCUCCUCCAGUUCCCACUGAUAAUCUGGAAUGUCUUUCUAGCUUGCUUCCUGUGUCACAUACACAAUUUCCUAUUUUUGUUGAUAUGCCAUAACAUGCAUCAGGAUCGACUCCAGGGAAACAAUAUCUAACCACUUUCGAUGUUCAUUUCCUCACUCCCCAAUCCAAGACUACCACAUACUCGGCUUCACCUAAUGUUCAUAAUUUUGCGGCGCCGCCACCACCUGAAGCUCCUACUUUUGAUGUUCCUCCACAAGUUGUGCCUUACUACUCCACAAGAGAGCCUGCAUUGAAUAUUACUGGUGAUCAGCGUUACACUCCUGAGUCUACAUUCAAGUUAACUGGUCUUUAUGGUGACACUCACCCACCUGAAUUCCCUUCUAACACUGAGAAGCCUUUUAUGAUAGAAGAACAAGAGGAAAUAAUCAGAAAAUUGAGAAGUUUGGAACUGGCUAUGAAGAAUUCGCAAGGACUUGGGGAUUACAAAAGUGUCUCAUAUAAGGACUUAUGCAUGUUUCCAGGUGUCAAGCUUCCUCCUGGCUUUAAAAUGCCAAAGUUAGAGAAAUAUGACGGACAUGGGGAUCCGGUGUCACAUUUAAGGCGCUAUUGUAACCAAUUAAGGGGCGUUGGAGGGAAGGAAAAACUACUCAUGGCUUAUUUUGGGGAGAGUCUUUCAGGCCUAGCUUCGGAAUGGUUUGUUGACCAAGACAUUAACAAGUGGAUUAGUUGGGAUGACCUAGCUAAUGAAUUUGUGCAACAAUUUCAAUACAAUGUGGAGUUGAUCCCUGACAAAAAAUCCCUAAUUAGUAUAAAAAAAAAGAAUACUGAGAGUUUCAGGGAGUAUGCGAUCAGAUGGCGUGAACAAGCUGCUAGGGUGAAACCGCCAAUGAAUGAAAGUAAGAUAGUGAAGGUAUUUAUUCAAGCGCAGGAUGAAACAUAUUAUCAACACUUGUUACCUGCAUUAGGCAAGUCGUUCAUUAAAGUCCUUAAAAUAGGGGAGAUGAUAGAAGAGGGAAUUAAGACUGGUCGCAUUAUGAGUUUUGCAAUAUUGAAAGCGACUACUCAAGCAAUUCAAAAGAGUUCAGGAAGUGUUGGGGAGAAAAAGAAUGAGGAAGAUUAAUCUGCUAUUGUAGUUGGAUAGCAGGAUAGGUCAAGAAGACCCCGUCGUCGUCACUCUCAGGAUCAAACCCAAGUUCAUGCCCAUGCUCCACAUAAUCACUCCCAAAAUUCAUUAUACUCUGCUCCUCCACCCCCGUAUCAAGUUUAUAACGCACAACCAUAUGUUCACCCCCCAUGUUACCCAUAAUGGAACACACCAACUCCUCAGAGUCGUCCUCUAACUCCAUAAAUAUACCAAAGCCCUUCUAAGACUAAUUUUCGAUCCAAGCCAAACGAUGAAAUGAGGCAGAAGUCAAGAAAUAGCUUCACACCAAUUGGAGUCGUAUGCCAGUUUAUUUUAGAGAUUGGUACAAUGGGGCAUGAUCACUCCUCUCCUUGGGUGCACUCUUAAUCGGAGUUCCAAAAAUUUUGAUCUGAAUGUACGAUGUGCGUAUCAUUCUGAUGCUCAGGGUCAUAGUAUUGAAGAUUGUCGACAUCUGAAAAGAGAUAUUAAAAAGAUGAUUCAAGAUGGAUUAAUUAUGGUGCAGAACAUUGACAGUGAGAGAAACUCUAGUCAUGCUGAUAUGCAAACUAGUGGCUAAGAUGUCAGGCUGAGCAAUUGAGAAGUCACCCUUCUCCUUACUAGGGAGAGGUUUGAUAGUUUGUUUUGUUUUAUUUUUUGUUAUCCGAAUUAUUUCAGGGUUGUAGUUCGGGAUCUAUCUUGUUUUGUCCUUUUGUCGUUUAUGUUGAAACCCUUCUAUCUUUUGUUUCAACUAAAUGAAGUGUCCUAUUUUCCUUUGUGUUUUAAAUAUGUUUUAUUUGUUUGUUUUCUUUACAUAGUACAUUUUAUGUUGACUUUAAUGAUAUGACAUGCUAGAAAAAUAUUUCAGUCAGAUCUUAAAAUCCGGUUUAAGCAUGAGUAUUGAAUCAAGGGGUUAAAGUUAGAAAAAAAAGAGUGUCUGAGAAAAUAGUAGAGUGCUGAAACAUUUGGUGACAAGUUCAAGACUUCUUUGAAAAUUAAGGCCAUUUAUUUUGAGAAUCAAAAGAAUAACUUGGUCAUCAAUUGAAAGACAUGUCUCAAUUAGGUCAAACAGUGUCUGGGUGAUCCUAUCAAGAAGAGCAGAAAGAAAAUCAACUCCACGAAAGCAUGAGUCAUUCAAAGUGAGGGAUGCACAACAAAUGUGGAGUUGUACGUUUGAAAAGUAUAGAAAAAGAGGUGACACACAUGCUCGGGGAAAAUUAGUGUUGUAAAACAUGUCAUAAGUGAUGUUGAUCGUGCACUUUCACAUUGCAUGCUAUGUACUAGUAUUUUCAAAGAUUGAUAUCACGAAAGCAUUUUAUUCUGCUAUCCAAACAUUGUGUCAUCCUUUGUUACCCUAUUUGAGCCUUAGUGUUAUUUUCUUUCAUACCCCUCUUUGGGUAUCAAGAUAAAGCUAGCAAAGCUUAAAAGAAAAGUAUCGAGCAAGAGAAUAGAGUCAGAAAGUUUCAAAAAAGAAGAAGAGAAAAAUGUGUCCACAAAGGAAGAAAAGAGUGUCAAGAAAUUGGAGUCAGAAAAAUCACAAAGAAAAAAGAGUACAAAAAAAAAGAACAAGUCAGAAUCAAGCAAAAAAGAAUAAGCUGUCAGAACUACGCAUGACCUGAUUCUCCUCUCUCGAGGGUGAGAUACAUAGGCUGCCUUACUCAGGGCUCGGUCCAACCAAAUAACAAUUUAGAAUUUCCAGUCAAAAGAAACUGGGGCAUGAGUUAAUCCUCAUUGUUUGAGUCGAUUUCAAAAGUUAUAAGUCCCACCUCACUACAAGUGUCGUUUUGGGCAUCAUGUCAUCCUUUCUUUCUAACCUUGUCCAAAAGUCAAGUUACAACCAAAGAAAGACCUUCAGAUCAAUCUUUGAGAAUGUUAAGGCUAAGCAUGCAAAGGAUAUGAUGAUGCAUUUGGGAAUUACUUGUCUUCCUCAGCAUAAGAAAUGAAGAGAGAAAUAAAAAGGAGAGAGUCUUAUUGGUGAAAAUCCUCACGGGCACCAUAAGGCGAUGCUAAGUUGAGAGAAAUAAAAAUGAGAGAGUCUUAUUGGUGAAAACCCUCAUGAACACCGUAAAAUGACUGUGAGUUAAUGGAAAUGAAGAUAAGAGAGUCUCAUUAGUGGAAAACCCUUACAGACACCAUAAGGUAAUGGUGAGCUGAGGAAAAGAAAAUGAGAGAAGCUUGUUGGCGAAAAUCCUUCAAGGCUCCACUAGCCGAAUGGGGUCUUAAAUGCAGUUGACCUAAGGAAGCAACUCAGUUUCAAGGCCAUUAACUCAACAACAAUAGGUAGAAAAUUUGGACGAAAAGAUCAAGCUGCUUAAUUCAAAAUGCAUGGUAUAAUCAUUAGUGUUGAGUGUCAUUUUUAGAUGAAUUUUUUGUUUCUUUGUUUCAAAAGGGAACAUUUAUUGUCUUUUCUUUCUUCUCUUUAUUUUUAUUUUAUCUUUCUUGAGUCAGUUAUCCAAACAAAAAUUUUAAUUCUUUUUUUCGUUUCUUGUCUUUGAGUCAAGUCCGUGUCAAAACAAGUGAGAAAAGAUUUAAAAAAUGGCUACCAGCUUUUUUAAUUGCACAAAGCAAGACAAAAGAUAGAACAUGAAAGAGACAUGAUUAUGAGCAAAAAAAUGGCAUGCAGAAAGUUUUGUCAAACAGAGAAGUCAGGAAACUCAUGGAAAUAUCAAGGUUCAAAGGAUCUAUUUGAGAAGCAUGGCAAAGUAGAGAUACUGUGUUUGUUUUAGUCACUCUUAAUAAUCUAAGCUCGGGUCAAUGAUUCAGCAAGUCAAUGAUAUAUGCUAAUGGUUAGAAGCAAGGUUAAAUGUGAGGAGGGCAAGAGUGAUCGUCGCGAAAGCUAAAACCACAAACCGGCUACCAUGUUUUAAACUCACAAGUUUUCUUUGAUGAAACAGGAAACAUAUUACCUUCAAAGCAGGGACUUCAGAGCAUAAACAUCAAUGGUUGCAAUGCUUCACUUUUACAAAUGCAAAAAACAAUAUUACUGCACAGGUUUGAUAUAAAAUCAUGGUAAAAAUUCAUCAUCCUAUAUCCCUCGAAGAAACACUUUCUUGUCUAGGAAUUUCAGUUUUCAUUUGCUAGGUGAUACACUUCUUAAAUUGAACCUUCACUCCUAGAAGACGUAUCUUUUAGUCGAGUCAUUCCCAUUGAUUCCUAUAAGACGUACCUUUUAGUCGAGUCAUAUCCCUUUGAUUCCUAUAAGAUGUACCUUUUAGUCGAGUUAUCCCAUUGAUUCCUAUAAGACGUACCUUUUAGUCGAAGUCAUUCCUAUUGAUUUCUAUAAGACGUACCUUUUAGUUGAGUCAUUCCCAUUGAUUCCUAUAAGACUUACCUUUUAGUCGAGUCAUCCCCUUUGAUUCCUAUAAGACGUACCUUUUAGUCGAGUCAUCCCCUUUGAUUCCUAUAAGAUGUACCUUUUAGUUGAGUCAUUCCCAUUGAUUCCUAUAAGACGUACCUUUUAGUCGAGUCAUCCCCUUUGAUUCCUAUAAGAUGUACCUUUUAGUUGAGUCAUUCCCAUUGAUUCCUAUAAGACGUACCUUUUAGUCGAAUCAUCUCUCUUUGAUUCCUAUAAGACGUACCUUUUAAUCGAGUUAUUCUCCUUAAUUCCUAUAAUAAUGUGACUUUCACAAAAGCCCUUUGAUGAUAAACUGGGGCAAAAUUUAAUUCUUAUGUUUGGAACUUCACUUUUCAAAAAAUGAAAUCCUUCUUUAUCAUAAUAUUUGUUCAGGACCCUUAUGAAAAAUGAAAUUUUACUUUAUGUUCAGGACCCUCCUGAAAAAUAGGAUUCCACUUUCUGUUUAGGACCUUCCUGAAAAAUGGGAAUUUACUUUCUGUUCAGGACCCUCAUGAAAAAUGGGAUUUUACUUUAUGUUCAGGACCCUCUUGAAAAAUGGGAUUUCACUUUAUGUUCAGGACCCUCCUGAAAAAUGAGAUUUCACUUUAUGUCCAGGACCUUCCUGAAAAAUGGGAUUUUACUUUCUGUUCAGGACCCUCCUGAAAAAUGGGAUUUUACUUUCAAUUCAGGACCCUCCUAAAAAAUGGGACUUUACUUUCUGUUCAGGACCCUCCUGAAAAAUGAUAUUUUACUUUCUGUUCUGGACCCUCUUGAAAAAUGGGAUUUUACUUUUUGGAAAAUGAAUUCUUUCUUUAUCAUAAAAUUUGUUUAGAUAUUUUCGUUCUAGUUUUGAUUUUGAUUUCAGAAGCCCGCCUGAAGAACCAGGGUGAUGAAAUUGCAAGUCAGGAGUCCGCCUGAAGAACAGGGUGAGGAAGAUGAAAGCCAAGCAACAAGGUAAAGAAAUUAAAAGUCGAAAAAUAGCAAGUCAGGAGCCCGCCCAAAGCAUAGGGUGAAUAAAUGAAAAGUCAAUCAACAAGGUGAAGAAGCUAAAAGUUAAACAACAAGGUGAAGAAAUUGAAAGUCAACAAAUGGAAAAAUAACAAGUCAGGAGCCCACCUGAAGAACAGGGUGAUGAAAUGGGAAAUUGAAGAAACUGCAAGUCAGGAACCCGCAUGAAGAAUAGGGUGAUGAAAUUGAAGUACAAAAAAUGGCAAGUCAGAAGCCCACCUGAAGAGCAAGGCGAAUAAAUGAAAGUCGAGCAAUGAAGUGAAGCAAUGGAAAACCAAGCAACAAGUUGAAGAAAUUGCAAGUCAGGGGCCCGCCUGAAAAAUAGUGUGAUGAAGUAGCGAGUCAAGCGUCAAGGAAAGCUGCAUAGAUAGGAAUUUUGUAAUUUCAUUUAUAUUUUAACUUGUAAUUUUCAUUUUAAGGUAAUGACAGAGCCGCGGACCGGAACCUCGAUGGAACCUCAUUCGACUCUCCAACUUGAUUUAGUCCAUCUCCGUCCAAUCCUUUGAGAUAUCGAUCACUUGAUUCCCUCAUAACUUGGGUGGGUAGAAUGUCCAUCAAGACUAGGUUGCCCUUCUUCCUUCUGUUUCCUUCCUCGAAUAAUGAUCAGGAAAAAAUUCUGUUUCGUUGUCUACUUAUUUGAAUGAAAACACUUGGUGUUUACAUUCAAAGGAGGCAUGAUGAAGACACGUAAUUUUAUCCCGUUAAUAAUAUUUCUUACUCCAAUAUCACAUAAUUUAACCCCUUUUUUAUAAUUUUUUCCCAAGAAAAUAAAUAACCACCUCAUCUUUUAAUUAUUUAUGUAUUUAUUUUUUUGUUUUGUUUUAUUCAAAUAACAAGUCAUAACAAACUUUGUCUCAUUCUAAUAUUCCAACAAUCCACCCAAUAAAAAAUGGACACCUAACCCCUAGUCCUCCCAUUAAAAAAAAAAUCAACACCACCACCCCUAACCUCACCUACCCUACCCUACCCAUCACGUGACCCCUCCCCCUACCUACUUUCUUUACACGUUUAUUCCAAUUCUAUAUAUACAAAGGAGCAAAGGAAAAGCAAAGAAUGGAAACGCGGAGCCCACAUAAUUAUUCCAUUAGUUUUCCUUCUUGGAUUGUCAAUACAUACACCUAUAUGCAUAUGAAAAAUGAACCUGGACAGAAGGACAAAAAACAAGGGGGGCCCAUUAGGAACUUUCCAGGAAAUACUCCAUUCACACAGUACACAGAUAUCAUAUGUAUACACCAUUGUUUCUUUUCCUUCGGGGGAGACCUGGAGACACCAUCCUCUUCACUCAAAAUAUCGGCACACACAUACGCCCAAUCGCACACACACACACGCAAUCCUCGCCCUUCACAGCUCACUCAAAAUCGCACACUAAUCCGCACAUACCCAAAAAAAUGAAGCCGAUUGAGAGAGAGGGUGACGAAUAGAGAGAAAUAUAGUUAUUUUGGUUUCGGGUUUGUUGCCGGAUUUCGACAUUUUCCGUUAGCUUAUUCCCUUCACAGCUCACCGGAGCUUAGAUUUGGACUGAUUUUGAGCUCUCAGUUAGACUUCGGAGAUGUUAGUUCUCGUUUGCUCGUCAUUCGUCUUCCGAUAUCGUGCAUUUGAAGGUUUUUCAUACCGGGCCGGUCUGUUUUUCUGUUGCUAUUUUGUUGUGGUUUCAUCGGUCUUCGCUACUGAUUUGAAGAUUAGAAUCUCGUUCAUCUCGAAUCGUUAAUCGCGAUCAGUUUUUUGGUCUUCAAUCUUCGAUACCGAAUCUGGGAUUAUCGCAUUUUGGAUUAUUUCUCGACUGAUUUGGAGAGUCGAGAUUUCGUUGGUAUUCUUCGAGGUUCUUGAAUGGGCUCUUAUUUCUCUUAUUAAAUCAAUCGAAAGCUCCCGAGGUCCAAUUCUAACUUUUCUCUUUUUGAUUUUCUCGUAAUUACGAAUGAUUUGUAUGCUUAAAUGUUUGAAUCCUUGUUUGGGUAUGUGUUCAAUAUUGAUUUCGGAUUUGAAGAAAUAACUUGAUUGUCAAAUUAGUUGUUUGGGGUCUAGAUUGAAAAUUAAUAAUCGAAUAAGUCGAAGGUUGUUUAUUUUGAUUCAUUAUUGAAUAUUGUUGAAUUGGAUAGCAUCAUGAUUAGGCCAUCUAAUGAAUAGGUUAAAGUAAGUUCGGGUAGGCAAAUAUUUAGGAAUAAGUGUUUGCUCGUUGAAUUAUUGAAUGCUUGAAAUGCGUGUUGAAUGGUUUGGUUUUAUUGCUUUUGGAUUGAAUGUAUCAUUUAGCCGGGGAAUGCCCCGAGACACAUUGUAUUUAUUCACCGGGGAAUGCCUCGACGUACUAUGUUGGCGGAAGACGUUCGUGAUGAAGGCCCGAGGCAUCGGGUAACUUGGGAGCGUAGUUAGGAUUAGUAUAGGUUAGAUAGGAUUUAUUUUUCGCAUUUUAUUUAUUUUGGGUAUGUAUAAUCGGACUGAACACUAUACUUUGAUUCAUUUUGUUUGUUUGCUUUACGUGCUUCCUUGUGAUUUGUACAUUCGUAGUGUCAAAAUUAGCCGAUACGCUCCACCAAGCGACCGUGGUCAAACCACGGGAUCGAGAGGUGUCUAACACCUUCCCCUCGGUCAACAAAAUUCCUUAGUCGGAAUCUCUGUUCGCGGAUCAGUUCUAUAGAGUCAAAAUCGUUUUGAAAAGGGAUAUCCAUGGGUGACUUGGCACACCCGAUUUAUGCCAAGUGACGACUUUGAGUUUAGAAUAUAAAAGGUCCUUUUCGAAAUAAAUUUUCAUCUUUUGUCACUUUGAUAAUAAAACUCUUUUGAACAUAAAAUGAAUCUUUUCCAGAGUUGAAAAAAAAAAGUGUGACAGACAUGUACAAGCAAGCUGCGGAUGAAUUAAUAUCAGGGGUAAACCCUAUCACACCCCUUUUUUCAACUCCCAAAAAAAAAUUCAUUUAAGGUUUGAAAGAGUUUUUAUUAUUAGGUGACAAAAGAUGAACAUUUGUUUCGAAAAUGGAUUAUUUACAUUUCUGUUCUGAGUCACCACUUGACAUAACCCGGUGUGCCAAGUCACCUUUGGAAAAUCUUUUUCAAAACGAUUUGACUCUUCAAACUGGUUUGCGAACAGAGAUUUCGGCUAAGAAAUUCUAUUGACCGAGGAAAAGGUGUUAGGCACCCCUCGAUCCCGUGGUUCGACCACGGUCGCUUGGUGGAGCAUAACGGCUAAUUUGACACUACAAAAUGUAUAAAACACACGAAAAAAGCAAAUAAACAAAUCAAACAAAAUUCAAAAUCAAAAUAAUAUCCAUUCCGAAUUAUACAAUCCCAAGGAUAGAAGAAUACAAAAAUAUAAAUCCUAUACUAGACUAAUCCUAAACUAUGCCUCGGGCCUUCAUCAAAACGUCUUCCGCCAACAUAAUACAUCGGGGCAUUCCCUGGUGAAUAAAUACAAUGUGUCUCGGGGCAUUUCCCGGCUCCAAAUGCGAGAAAGACAAACCAUUUCUCAAACAUUCAACGCAUUCAAUCAACACACCACUCCUAAAUUUUGCCUACCCGAACCUAAACAUUUUGCCUAUCCAAUGCGAACUAUCAUGAUACUAUAGAAUUCACAAACUUGAUUCCGAAUUAAGCAAAAUAACAACGAACCAACAUUAAACCAAAUUUACCCUUUUUAUCAAUCUCGCAAUUCCACCCUAAAUUCUCUUCUCAACACUAAAUUUCCACAAUUCACGAUUUCUAUUUCAACAAUCCACAAUCACUUUUCAAUGAAAAUUAAGCAACGAGUUAAUAUCAAAGUAGCAAUUCAUAACCAAUCAAGAUCAAACAACACACGAGAUUCCAUCCAAUGCACCAUAUUCCAUCAAUAAUGAAAUAAAAAGAGGAAAGGAGUAGAAAUGGACCUCAAUGAUGAUUUUAUUUCGAAUAUCAGUCAAUCGAGAAGACGACUCUGUGUGAUGAAGAACCUCGAGUCUGCCUCAAAAAAUACCACAACUCGACUACGAACCAACUCCAAUACGACAAUCUUCAAAACCCGAUCCCAAAACAAAACCCACGAAGGCCAGUGAGCCACUUAUCCACUGAGGUGACUUAGCCUAGUAGGGAGAGGGGUGACUUCUCAAUUACUCAGCCUGACAACUUAGCCACUGGUUUGUAUAUCAACAUGACUAGAGCUUCCCUCACUGUCAAUGUUCUGCACCAUAAUUGAUUCAUCUAGAAUCAUCUUUUCAAUUUCUCUUUUCAAAUCUCAACAAUCUUCAAUACUAUGACCCUGAGCAUCAUAAUGAUACGCACAUCGUACAUUAGGAUCAAAAUUUCUUGAACGCUAAUUAAGAGUGCACCCAAGGAGAGGAGUGAUCAUACCCUAUUGUACUAAUCUCUGAAAUAAACUUCCAUACGACUCUUCAAUUGGUAUGAAGCUAUCUCUCGACUUCUUCCUUAUUUCAUCAUUUGGCUUGGAUAAAUUAGGCUUAGGAGGGUUUUGGUAUGUUUACGGAGUUAGAGAAUGACUCUGAGGAGUUGGUGUGUUCCACUGUGGGUAAUAUGGGGGUUGAACAUGUGGUUAUGCGUUAUAUACUGGAUAUAGAGGUGGAGGAGUAGAGUAUAAUAGAUUUUGGGAAUGAUUAUGUGGAGUUUGGACAUGAACUUGGGUUUGAGCCUGAGAGUGACGACAAUGGGGUCUUCUUGACCGUGCCCGCUGUCCGACUACAAUAGAGGAUGGAACUUCCUUAUUCUUUGUCUCCCCAAUACUUCCUGAACCCUUUUGAAUUGCUUGAGUUGUCGCUUUCAAUGUUGCAAAACUCACAAUGCGACCCGUCUUAAUUCCCUCUUCUAUAAUCUCCCCCAUUUUAAGGACAUCAAUAAAUGACUUGCCCAAUGCAGGUAACAAGUGUUGAUAAUAUGUUCCAUUCUACGCUUGAAUAAACUCCUCUACUAUUUUUCUUUCUUUCAUUGGCGGUUUUACUCUAGCAGCUUGUUCACACCAUCUGAUCGCAUAUUUCCUGAAACUCUCAGUAUUCUUCUUUUUUAUACUAUUUAGGGAUUUUUCGUCAGGAAUCAACUCCACAUUGUAUUAAAAUUGUUGCACAAAUUCAUUAUCUAGGUCAUCCAAACUAAACCACUUGUCAAUGUCUUGGUCAACAAACCAUUCCAAAGCUAGUCCUGAAAGAUUCUCCCCGAAAUAAGCCAUGAGUAGUUCUUCCUUCCCCCAGCACCCCUUAGUUGGUAGCAAUAACGUAUCAAGUGUGCAAUAGGAUCACCAUGUCCAUCAUACUUCUCAAACUUCGGCAUGUUAAAGCCAAAAGGAAGAUGAACCCAAGAAAACAUGCACAGAUCAACAAACAUUCAACGCAUUUAAUCAACACACCACUCCUAAAUUUUGCCUACCCGAACCGAAACAUUUUGCCUAUCCAAUGCGACCUACCAUGAUACUAUAGAAUUCACAAACUUGAUUCCGAAUUAAGUAAAACAACAACAAACCAACAUUAAACCAUAUUUACCCUUUUUAUCAAUCUCGCAAUUCCACCCCAAAUUCUCUUCUCAACACUAAAUUUUCACAAUUCACAAUUUCUAUUUAAACAAUUCACAAUCACUUAUCAACGAAAAUUAAGAAACAAGUCAAUAUCAAAGUAGCAAUUCAUCACCAAUCAAGAUCAAACAACACACGAGAUUCCAUCCAAUGCACCAUAUUCCAUCAAUAAUGAAAUAAAAAGAGGAAAGAAGUAGAAAUGAACCUCAAUGAUGAUUUUAUUUCAAAUAUCAAUCAAUCGAGAAGACGACUCCGUGUGACGAAGAACCCCAAAUCAGCCUCGAAGAAUACCACAACUCGACUACGAACCAACUCCAACACGACAAUCUUCAAAACCCGAUCCCAAAAAAAAACCCACAAAGGCCAGUGAGCAAAUCUCAGCUUGGUAUCGAGAAAACUGUGACCUAAGACAGAGCACGAUGAACCCACCGAGAUAAACAAAACCCAAAUCCAAAUACAACACCAGCGUUAAAUUGUUUAGAAUCGAUUUAAAAAAGAAAUGUUGAUGGUGCUAUUACUGUUCACUUCUUUCCGAUGGUAUCGCCUGAAACAAAAAGAAACGACAAGGUAUGUUGGGUUUUCGGCACAGGGCAAGUUAACUCGAACGGGCCGGGAAAACUUGAGAAUCCCUUUCUCUCUGGUUUUCUCACUCUCUGACCAGUUCUCUCUGUCAAUCUCCUCGUUUUCUCAAUUUCUCUCUCAAUCGAUCUCUCCCACUCCUAUCUUUAUUCUCUCCGGUCACCUCACUCCUCGAUUUCCCUAUAUCAGUGUAUGUGUCCCCAGAUAUCGUGAGGUUGGUGAGUGUAUCCGUGAGCCAGAAGAAAUGAAAGAUAAUGUUGGUGUUUUCCUUUUUUCGUGAGUGGAAGAAUGAAGUGUCUUGUUGUGAUGGUAUAAGGUGGAGAAGAUGAUGUUUAUGGUGUCCCCUUAGUGGUGGGGCCCGUAUGUGUGUAUAUAUCCCUCAUGGUGUGAGAGAUUUUUCUUUUUCUCCAAGCUAACACCGUGUAAAAUAAUAUAAAAGGAGGAGGUAUGGUCACGUGGGAGAGGGUAGGGGUGGUGAUGAUAAGAUUUGUUAGGAUAAAGUUUUUUACGAUAAGGUUAGGGAUUUAAUUUGUUAGAGAUUUUGUUAAGGGUUGUUAUUUUUUGUAUUUUUGUGGGAUAUAAUCAUACGGAUGAGGGUAUAUAAUAACAAGAGGUAAAAAAUGGAUAAAUUGAGUUUUGGGAGGGACAAAAUUUGGCGUCUACAAAUCCCAAAUGAUCCAUGUUUGUUUCAUCAGCCAAAGCCAACUUAGUUAGAAGAAACCGUGAGGGUCAUCAUAUUUGCUUUAAUAGUUCAUUCGUAGAGGAUGAACAUCUAUCGUUGUAAAGAUAAUUCUAUUUGAUUUUCAUAGUUCAUUCGAUGGAGGAUGAACAUGUCUGUUGCCGUAAAGGCCAGCAUAUUUAUUUUCAUAGCUAGUUCAUCCGGUGUAGGAUGUGUGUCUGUCGCAGGAGUGAAAACUAUGGACUUUGGUUGAUUUGAUUUUCUAUAGCAAAAAUCUUAGUUUUGGCAGAUGUUUAUGAGUUUUCUCUAUGGUUAUGUUUGGUAUGGAUGAAAAUGUUUUCUAUUUUUUUUCAUGUUUUGUUUCAAAAUACUAAUUGUCUCUAUGAAUAUAGGUUCCUUGAAAUAUUUUUUUAAUUUGGGCAUAAAACAAGUUCGAUAAAUUACAUUUUAAGUUCAAUAUCUUCUCCCAUCCCGAACGACCCCAACCCUAUGACAGCCCGUACACUCAUCAAUGCCGGCCAAUGGUAAAGCCAUUAAAAGUAAUAUCUUGAGGCCCCAUAGUUUUAAGACCUAUUUUUUUAAAAUUAAUAAUAAAGUAAUUUUCAUGGUAAUAUUCCUUAAAACUAAAAAUUUUACGGUUUAAAAAGGAACAUUCUCUUUAUCAAAGAGGAAAAGAGAAUUUGUUUAGCCAAUCUGAUUACAUUUUUUAACAUUCUUUUCUGGUUCUCACAUAUUGCCACAGAUAUAUUGAAAUGAUAAAAUUUUAUUCUAUCAUCGAGUUAUAAAUUUCAAGAAUAAAAUUCUAUAAUUCAAACUCUACAACCUAAUAUUUUUUAUAAUUUUAUCUUGAAAUUAUGAUUAUUUUUAAAAUUUAAGACCUCUUUAUAAUGUUUGUAUCAAAGUGACUAAUAUUUCAAUCUUGUUGCAAAAUUCAUCUUUAAUUUGAGUUGGUAUGUUAUUAAACUAUGGCAUAGUGAAAUUUUUUUAAAAAAUUCAACAAGUUUAUUAAAGAUUUGAGAAAACACAACUAUAGAACUCAACUUUUGAUAUUUGCUUUUUCUAUUUGUUUUUUCAUAUUUUUAUUGGUUUGCAUGAAUAAGUCAUUCAUGUCUUUGUUGUUCCAUUAACUAGGAGAUAAUUCGUUAUUACUUGUUUCUUUAUGUCAAAGACCAGAAGAUGCUAGCAUAGUUUUUUCACUCUUUUCUUAUGAGGCAUGUACUACAACUUUAACCUCACAGGCCUGGGCUGGACUUGCCUCCCUUUCAUAAGGAGUCGUACGAGGCGAAAACUCUACAUACGAUUCUAAGGUUUAGCCUUUCUAGAAAUAAAAUGAUCAGAUUAUUAUGGAUACCUAUAGAGAUUAAUGUAUAAGAUCGAAAUCUACAAACUGAUGCAUUAGACUCACCUUUUACUUGAAUACAUACGGGGAAAAUAACAUUUCACAUGAAGAGAGACAAAUAAAAUUUCAUGAAUUUUGAUCUCCCAAUUUAUCUAGUACCCAUUCUAUGUUUUGUUUUUCAUGAAUACUUGACUUUUAGGUAAAAGUUCAUGCUUUAUUUUUUCUUUUUUUGCUUUUACUUUUUCAGUCACCAUACAUAACUAAAACUUUGGCUUAUUUUAAUAUGAUGAUUGAUAUUUGUUCUUUAUGAUAGAUGAAAUUUUAUAUUUUCAAAUUUUAGCUUUUCUGGAGUGAAUUUGAGUGUUAAAAUUUGAAGAAUAGAAUAAUUAUUUUUUGCCAAUCCAAAUUUUUAAAAGUAAUUUAGAUAGGGCCAUGGCCCAACAUUAUCAAAAUUGUCAAUCUCAGCAUUGUCCCGUUCGGGGAGCAACAGUAUUAGAACAGUGAUCCAUUUUAUUACAUAUAAAUUAGUAUGUGUUGUAUGUGUACAUUUUAUAACUGCUAGGCUACUUUAUCAGUCAUAUACAUGAUUGUCUUGUGUAUUUAUAUAUUCAGACCAGAUCAAUACAUAUGCGUCUUAUGCAUAUACCAAUAGAUUAUUUUAUUUAUCAGCUAUAUAAGUAGGAAAUUUAUGAAUGUUUGAAAUUGUUGUGCAUAUUUAAAUAUGAUGUGAAUUUAUUUUUUUCAAGAACUGCAUAUAAAUAAGCUAAUUUAAUUAUGUCGGUAUGUUAUUUCACAGCAUAUAUAUAUAUAUAUAUAUAUAUAUUGUUGAAAGACUAUUGUUUAUUUUAUUGCGUAUACAUAAUGGUCUUAUAUAUAUGUACAUUUCAGAAUAGGUAAAUUGAAUUUUUUUAAAUAUGAGACAUAAGUGUUUUACGUAUAUGUUUGUUGUAGAAUUGCUAGGCUUUAUUAUUCUAUUAUUACUACAUGAUAUGCUUUGUUAACCUGCUAUAUAUCUGCUUUAGAUUGAUUAAUUCUUGUGUGUAACAUGAUUAUAUAUUCAAAUUGAUAAGUUCUUUAAUGAGGACGGAUGAAGUGUCAAUCAUUCCAAUGUCAGAUAUGAAAGAUUAUGAUGUACCUAACUUUGUAGACGAGGAAGAAGUAUUACAACCUAAAUAUCGAAGACCACUUGAAAGGCUGAAGAAAGGGAGACAUAAAAAAUUAAGGGAAACAAUGUCAUCAAGCACAUAUAGUUGUGGAAAGUGUGGUUGUACGGGUCAUAACAGGCGAACUUAUAAUUUCUUCCUAAAAAAUAAUUGAAAUUUGUGCAGAUACAUAGAAUUGUUCACUUGCAUUACUUAUAAUUAGUUAUGUAUAUUUAAAUAUGGUGUGAAUUUAUUUUAGCGUAGUUUCUACAUUUACUAAAUCUUAUUUAGCGAUGUUUCAUGCAAUGACUAUAAUAAUAGUUUCUGAUGUUUUAUUAAAUUAACUUAUGAGAUGCAUUUUUUAUAGUUUUCCAUUGCUUAAACAAAUGAUUGAUUGUUAUCGCAUAUACAAUGCUCAACAAUCAUACACUAUAUUCUAUGCUAAUUAUGACAUAAUUAAGCUAAAUAACUUUAUUACAUAUUCAUUUCAAUAAUAAAUGUAUAAAUAAUUAUGUUAUUAUUAUUGUUUUAGGAUAACAAUAUAUAUAGUUGCAUGUCAUACUUAUACUUAACUAUGUUAUGGUAUGUGCUAAACUAAAACAAAUAAGAAAAAUGAAUUUUAAAAUAGACACACAAUUAUUUUUAUGUAUAUGAUGUGUACUAAAAAAUUAUACAAUUUGUAUGUCUUGCAUAUCAAAUUUGUAGAACUAAUACAGCCGUCAAAUUAAGUACAUAAUACAGCCAUAUACUAAGUUAUGUUUAAUCUACAUACAUACAUAAUUUAGUUAUGUAUAUGAUAUUGUCUAGGUUAAGCAUAUAUAUAACUUUUUGAUGUCUAAUAGUUCCUAGUCAAUACCGUAUACAUAACAUAGUUAUGUAUAUUGUGUGUAGAAUAUAUAACCAGACAAAUAUGUACAAAACAGAGUUAGAUGCGUUAUGAAUUUAUGAAUACACAUUUCAGACAAUACAUACGCAUAACAGCGCUAUGUAUAAUCCACCCAUGUAUGUAACUUAGUAUAUGCCAGGCACACCAAAGCAUAAUAUGCAUCAUUGAAUGUGAUAAUAAUUAAAAUAUAAAAUAAUAUAUUAUGAUCACUUUGUACAACACAAAAUACAGAGUCUUAAAAUUUUCAGUUUCAAAACACACCAUCACCAAUAUUUUACAAAAAAUAUUUGCACAGAAAAAUUUUUCUUGAACAAAGGAUCUUUAAAUCUAUUCUAUGCUAACUAUUGUUGGUUCAUCAAAUGGUGGAUCGGAAUUUGAUUUUGAUCUUGGAGGAUCUUCGUUAUCACUAACAUCGCCUUUCUUUGUCUUGACCACUCCGUAAUUAUAUAGGAGGAAAGCGUAUCUAUUGGUGGGCUAGCAGCUUUCAACGGUCAAAUGGACUCUUGGACCAAUAGCUAUAAUGUCGUUUGAGGUCCAAUGAACAUUUGACCAAAUUUCAAUUAUUAAAAAAAAAAAAAAAAUUUAGCCAAAUGGUCGUUGGACUCCAAACAACAGUAUAGCCAUUGGGCCAAUAGAUAAAUACCGUAAAAUUGACCAAGAUAUUUCUCGUUGACCAAGAUAUUUCUCUUUGGAGAAAGCCUGGCGAGGAUAGCUUCUGAAUGGUUCAUUGACUAAGAUAUUUCUCGUUGGCAUGUUUGGGAUGACAUGGCUCGAGAUUUUAUUCAGCAAUUUCAAUAUAAUAUUGAGAUAGUACCAGAUCGCACCACACUUGCCAAUAUGGGAAAAAAGAAAAUUGAAAAUUUCUGAGAAUAUGUUGUCAGGUGGAGAGAGCAGGCUGCAAGAGUCUGACCGCCGAUAAAGAAGUUUGAAAUUAUUGAUAUCUUUUUACAAGAACAAGAACCUGAUUAUUUUUAGCAUUUGCUAUCAACUAUUGGGAGCACAUUUGCUGAGGCCAUUAAAGUUGGAGAGAUGGUAGAGAGCGUAAUUAAGUUCAGAAAGAUUAUCAGCUAGACCGCUUUGAAAGAAACAACACAGACAAUUCAAAGUAGUUCAGGAAGCUUUGGUGGAAAAAAAAGGAUGUAGAAACUAUUAUGCCAGGUCCACGACAAAAGUGGAGAGGUGUACGUCACUAUUGUGCACUAUCUCAAUCCCAUAUUUAUGUCCAAGACCCAUAUAAUCAUCUAUGACACUAUGUUUCUCCACAAAAUCUAUUAUACUCCACUCCAUCUCCUCAAUAUUCUAUUCAUAAUGCACAACUAUAUGUUCGGGCCCCUUCUUAUCCGCAAUGGCGUGCACCAACCCCUCAGAAUCAUCUUUUAAUUCCACAAACAUACCCACGCCCUUCCAGAAUCGAUUUUUGCUCUAAUCUAAAUAAUGAAAAGAGGCAGAAGCUAAGGGAUAGUUUCACACCAAUUGGAGAAUCAUAUACCAGUUUAUUCCACAAAUUGAGAAAAAGGGACAUGAUCACUCCUCUUCUUGGGUAUACCCCUGACCCACAAUCAAGAAACUUUGACCCUAAUGUACGAUGUGUAUAUCAUUCUAAUGUUCAGGGUCAUAAUACUGAAGAUUGUCGUGCCUUGAAAAGAGAAAUUGAAAGAAUGAUUCAAGAUAAAUUGAUUAUAGUGCAGGACAUUGACAGUGGUGAAGGAUCUAGUUAUGCUGAUGUGCGAACUGACUAACAUGUCAAGCUCAACAAUUGAGAAGGCACUCCUUCCCUUACUAGAAAGGAUUUGUAGAAGUUUAUUUAGUUUUUCUUUCUGUUAUUCGAAUUAUUUCAAGAUUGUAUUUCGGAGUCUAUCUUGUCUUAUUCAUUUGCCAUUUAUGUUGAAACUCAAUCAUCUUUUCUUUUAACAAAAAGCAAUGUCCGUUUUAUUUAUUUAUUAUAUUUUAUUUUUACUUUAUUUUAAUUGUUUGUCUUUCUUUUCUUUACAUAGUUCUUUUAUGUGGAUUAUAGUGAUAUGAUAUGCAUGCUGAAUUUUUACCGGAUCUUAAAAUCUAAUCUAAUCCUGAAACACUUGACUAAGAAGAUAGAGUUGAAAAGGAAAAUCAUGUAAGAAAAUAAGUAAAGUGUUGAGAUGUUUGUUGAUUGAGUUAAAGCCUCACUUGAAAGUAUUGAAGCAAUCGCUUUGUGAAUAAAAAAUUACUUGGUCAUCAACGAGAAGGUCAAUCUCAAGCACUUUAAAUGAAAGCGAUCAGAGGAUAUAUAGUCUCCACUGUCAGGAGAAGUAAAAGAAAGUUAGCUUUAAAAAUGCAUGAGCCCUCUUAUGGGAGAAAUAUAGAAGAUAAUUUGACCUUUAUGUUUGACAAAUGCAUAAGAAAUAACGACACAAGUGCUUAGUCACGGUCAAUGUUGAAAAGAUGUCUAUGAACUUCAUGUUCCACUCCAGAUUGCAUGUUAUGUAUUUGCAUUUUUAAGGAUUGAAGUGAUGAAGGCAUUUUGUUCUACUAUCCAAAAAAUAUAUCAACCUUUGCUUACCCCUUUUGAGCUUUUAUCUUUCUUCGUACCCCUCAUUUGGAAUCAAAUUAAAGUCAAGAAAAAAGAGUUGAAAAAAAAAAUCAAUCAAAAAUCCAAAAUCUAGAAAAAUAAAUUUUUAUGAACUACGUUUGACCUGAUUCUUGCUAUGACAAGAUAUGUAGGCAGCCGUACUCUGGGGUUCAAUCCAACCAAAAUAAAAUUCAAGUUACCCAAAAUGAAAUAAAACAGGGGCAAAAGUUUAUUUUCUUAAAAGAAUUGAUUCCAAAAGUUGUAUGCUUCACCUAGUGUUAUGUAAAUUUUGAGCCCCAUGCCGCCCUUUCUUUCUAACCCUUUCCAAAAACCAAGUUACAACCAAAGAAAGACCUUAAAAUCAAUCUUUGAGAAUGUCAAGGCUUAACAUCUUAUGGGUGAGUGAUAUUUCAUAUUUUGGGUGUUAUUUUCUUAAUAAAAAUGAAAGAGUCUUAUUGGUGAAAACCCUUUUGGGGAACCAUAAGGUGAUGGUGAGUUGAGAAAGAAAUAAAAUUGAGUUAGGAUUGUUGGUAAAAACCCAUUGAGGUACCACAAGCCGAUGGAGUAUUCUAAGAGCGAAUUAAUUCAGCAGUGGCUCAGUUUCAAACUCAAUAAGUGGGAAAAAGUUGACAAUGAUUAGUGUGGAAAGAUCCAAUUGUUUAAUUCAAAAAUGCAUAUCAUAAUCACUAGAAUCAGCUAUCAUACUCAGAUAAGUUUUCCUUUAUGUUGAUUUGAAAAAGAGAUGCACUUUGUCUUUCCCUUUUCCCUUUUUCUUUUUCUUUUUAUUAUUUUUGUUUUUGAAUUUUUGUCGUCAUAUGAAAAAUCAUUGUCAUCUUUCGCGUAUUUUUUAGUCGAAUUCGCGUCAAGUCAAGUAGGAAAGAGCUUCAAAACUUGCUAUCAACUCCCUCAAUUGCACAAAGCAUGACAAAGGGAUGAUGUACCAAGUUAACAUGCUUCAUAAUAAAGUAAGAUAUUCAAGAAUGCUUGUCACCUGAUAGUUUUUGGAUUCAUAGAAGUGAAAGAUAUGUUUGAAGUUAAACCCAAGAGCAUCAUGCAAGAGAAAUAUGAUUUGAGCCAAAAAGUUCCAGUAGAAAGAAUUUGGGGGUAAAAAAUGCAAGUCAACGAUACUUAUCAAUGAUUGAAAUGGAGCUGAGUAUGACAAAUGCAAGAGUGGGUGCCUUAGUAGCCAAAUGACACAAAUCAACCACCACGUUUUACAAUUAUAAUUGGUAUUUUUUUGAAAUAGAGAGAAAUUUGACCUUAAUUCAAAUGCUUUAAAGUUUAGAUAUCAACAAGGUGAAACACUUCCUUGUUUGGGUAAGUCAUUUUUCAUUUGUUAGGUGAUGCACUUCCUAACUUGAACCACCACUUAUAGAGGACGCACUUUCCAGUCUAUUCAUUUCAUUUAAUCCUUAGGAGAUGCACUUCCUAGUUUGGAUAAUUCAAGUUUCAUUCGUUAGGUGACGCACUUCCUAAUUUGAACCAUCACUCCUAGAAGACGCACUUUCUAGUUAAGUCAUUUCAUUAAACCCCUAGGAGACGCACUUCCUAGUCUAGAUAAUUCAAGUUUCAUUUGUUAGGUGAUGCACUUCCUAACUUGAACCAUCACUCCUAGAAGACGCCUUUUCUACUUGAGUCAUUUCAUUCAACCCCUAGGAGACGCACUUCCUAGUCUGGAUAAUUCAAGUUUCAUUUGUUAGGUGAUUUCCUAACUUGAACCAUUACUCUUAGAAGACAAACUUUCUAGUUGAAUCAUUUUAUUUAACCCCUAGGAGAUGCGCUUCCUAGUCUGAAUAAGUCAGUUUUCAUUUGUUAGGUAAAGCACUUCCUAACUUGAAUAUUCACUCCUAGAAGACACACUUUCUAGUCGAAUCAUUUCAUUUAACCCCUAGGAGACGUACUUCCUAGUCUGAAUAAGUCAGUUUUCAUUUGUUAGGUAAAGCACUUCCUAACCUUAAUCUAAAAGCUAAUUCUGUAAAGGUCAAAAUCCACUCUAAUCCUAACCAUAGUCUUCACUCAUGUGGAUGCGUUCAACCUUUUGCCAUUGCAAGCCUAAGUCAAUCCUUCCAUUCACCCAUAGAUCCAGCUAAGUCAGAGCAGUUCUCGAUUUUGAUUGAAUUAGGAAGGAUCAAUAUUUCUAGGAGAGAUUGUAUUGCCUCAACGCUUUCAAAAUAUCACAAGAGAUUUAUGAAUAUUGUGACCAAUCACAAUAAUAACCUCUCUAGUCUAUCUGUUGAACUCCUUGAAAAUAUUUAUAGCCAUAUUAAGUUGUGUAUUAAAUGCAAAACUCUCCUAAGAGCAUCAAUUAUGACAUUUCUCUCGGAAGGUACUUUCAUGUUUUCUUUUCGUACUUUACUUUAGUAUGUUUCUCUUUAUUGUCCCUUAUUCUAAGAGUUACUCCUAUAAAGCGCAGAAUAUACUCUAAUUCAAAGCUUAGUCCUCGCUCAUGCAGAUGUGCUAGACCUUCCGCAAUUACAAGCCUACCCGAUCCUUCCAUUCACUCAUACGAUCCAGCUAAGUCAAAGCAGUUCUCAAUUCUAAUUGAAUUAGGAAGGAUCAAUAUUGCCAGGAGAGAUUAUGCUAUCUCCGAUGGUUCACCAUGUGUAGAGAAAGGAAGAAGAAGCUAAAGGUGUGACUUAAGUGAAGUUAUACAAAGAAGAAAAACAAGUUGAUUCCUUUUCUUUAUGUCAAACAGGUGUAUAGCCCUGCCAUAUGUAUAUAUUCUAGAAUAAGUAUAGAAGGGGUAUUUUAGUAGAAUACCAUGUAUUUCCUGAGAGGAUAAAAAUCCUUUUGUGUUGUCCCGGUACCCAAUUCAAAAGCAUUGUCUGAUCUUAUGAUUUUUACUCGGGUGGAAAAUUUUCUUUCCACAAGUGAGAGAAAGGAUUUUAAAAUAGAAAAUGCACUGGAUUUGAUGCUAAGAAGGAAAGUCCAAGUGCUUCUUGAGAAAUCAUCUACGAUAGUGACGAAGUACUUCUCACCUUUGUAUGUAGGUGUUUUUCAAGUUCCCCUCGUAUUAAUAUGUAUUAAUUCAAAACAGUGGCCAGAAGUAAUGCAUCUAAUAGGAAAAGAGACUUUAGUUUGUCUUGCCAAAGGACAAAUGGUACAAGGAAUUUCUUUGUUGUUUGUAAUGUUAAUUAGUAGUCCUUUAAUGUGUUUCAUAGCAUUGAAAGGUAAGUGUCCGGCCCAAUCAACCAUGCCAUAAAUUUUCUAAAAUUAUAACUUUGGAAACUGAAAUUUUCUCAUUAUCUUUGAAAUUUGCAGGACAAACAAGACUCUGAAUACUACAGCAUGAAGCUCUUGGAAAAAAUGAAAUAGGAAAAGAACUAGACUCUAUAGAACUUGACUUAAGCAAACCAUCAGAAAGAGACGUUGAAGUAAUGGAGUUGACAUGAUUAUCUUACAGUGAAUGUGAAGCUCCUUGAAGCACAUAUAAACCAGUAAAGGCAUCACCAAAAGCUACAUUCAUCAGAGACGAGUCCUGUAGACUGCAACUAGUUUUGGUAAAUGUCAGAUUACAAUCAAAUUGCUCACAUAUUCUACUGACUGAGAGUAAAUUAUGUGUGAGUGCAAGAACAAGAAGGACAUCAUGAAGAAUAAUAUAAGGUGUUAAUUUCAUCUUUCCUACACAUGUAACAAGAAAUUUAUGAGAGUUAGGUAAAUGAACCAUUAUUGGUGAUCUAAGAACAACAACAUCAUGUAGUAAGGAUUUAUCAAAAAGACAUAUGUUGUGUUGCUCCUGAAUUGAUGAUCCAAGAUUUAUUAGGAGACUUAGAACAGCAAGGGGAAAUCAUUUUACAAGCAGUCUGCAUACCAACCAUGUUAUCACUUGCAUUGAUUUCAGAAUUUAAGGUACUGGAACUACCUCCCUGCAUGGACUGAAACAUCUGAAUGAUCUGAUCACAUUUCUCCUUCGUGAAACUUUGAUUUGCAGCUGAGUUUGAUAAUGUAUUUUCCUCUUUUCCUAUGUUGAUGAAAUCAUGUGCCUCUAGUAUAUUUACCUGUUGAAUACUAGAAAUUCCUUUUCCUUGUUUGUUAAUUUUCUAAUGUUGUGGAAAUUUGACCAACUUGUAACAUUGUUCCUUCUCAUGUCCUGUUUUCUUGCAGUACUUGCAAUACAUAUCACUUUUCUUUGCUUAAUAUUGGUUUGUUCCCUUAUUUUGUAUGGGUUUCUCUGAGAGUUGUAAGAGUGUUGAGUGUUCCAUCUCUAUCCAGCCAUAAAAGCAGAAGAUUCAGUAGUUACCUAAUGGUUAGAAAUUCAGACUAAAGAAAAUAUAAAAUAAAUUGUAUAUGCAUGGUAUUAUAUUAAAAUACUCCUUCUAUACUUAUUCUAGAAUAUAUACACCUGGCAGGACUAUACACGUGUUCGACAUAAAGAAAAGGAAUCAACUUGUUUUUCUUGUAUAACUUCACUUAAGUCACACCUUUAGCUUCUUCUUCCUUUCUCUGCACAUGGUGAACCACUGGAGACUCUGCCGGAGAUAAUUUAACGGAAACAACUAUCUGUUGAACUCCUUGAAAAUAUUUGUAGCCAUAUUAAGUGCACAACUCUAUUAAGUGCAUCAAUUAUGACAUUUCUCUUUAUUGUUCUUUUCGUACUUUAUUUCAGUACGUUUCUCUUUGUUGUUCCUUAUUCUUAGAUUUACUCCUGUAAAGGGCAGAAUCUACUCUAAUUCAAAGCUUAGUCCUCACUCAUGCAGAUGCACUAGACCUUCCGCCAUUGCGUGCCCAAUCUGAUCCUUCCAUUCACUCAUACGACCUAGCUAAGUUAGGUUAGCUCUUGAUUCUGAUUGAAUUUGGGAGGAUCAAUAUAGUUAGGAGAGAUUGUUCUGCCUCAACACUUUCUAGAUAUCAUAAGAGAUAUAUGAAUCGUGUGUGACCAAUCACAAUAGGGACCUCUCUAUUCUAUUUGUUGAACUCCUUGAAAAUAUUUAUCAAGUCCACAAAUCUUCUUCUAAUAAAUAGAAUCUUCAAUUAUGUUUUUCGGGCUCCUGCAAACUAUGUCAUUAGCUUAACUAUCAGCUCUUGUUACAUGUUAAUUAAUGAUCUUCUUAGUAAUAAGAACAACUUCAUUUGAAUUUGAGAAUCAAGUUAUCACUACAACAUAAGACAUGUAUAGCUACAAAGUACUUCAUAGCUAAAUAUCAAAAUUUUCGGGGCUAAACACUUUAGCUACAAUAUUUUUCCGUAGCAUUCGUAGGAAGAAGCCGCAUAACUAAAGGUUAGCUACAGACUUUACAUGGUCAGUGGCUACCAACUAAUAAUUAUAGCCACGAAUUUUAUAUGUUAUAGCAGUACAAUAAAAUGUUCUUGCCACGAAAAAUACACUUCUAGCAAGUGAUUUUAUUCUUUUGCCAUGACGAAUAAUAUUAGUAGCAACAUUCAUGUUAUAGCCACAAGAUAUUAUAUUAUAGCAAAAAUUAAUUUAUUUGCCACACAAAUUUAAAUUUUAUAGCUAUUUUUAUAGCUUAGUCUCGUGGCAAUAAAACUCAUACUUAGUUAUGAAUAGAAAAAAUCAUAGCCAUAAAUUAAAGUACUUACCACAAACAUAUUUAUAUUGUAGCUAAGAAUUCAUAUUUUUAGCUAUGAAAUAUAUAAAAUGCAGCAUAUUUUUUUUAUUUGCUACAAGAACAAAAAAACCAUAGCCAUGUUUUUUAUACGUAGCAAUUAUAGAAUUUAUUUAACUACAAAUUUAAAAGUACAUAGCUAAAAUCGUAUACCUUUUGUCAUGAAAAAUAAAACAGUAGCAAAACAUUUUCUUUAUUUGCUAUAAAAACGAACAAGUGUAGCUAUACAUUUAGCAAUUGUAUUUAUAUUCAGCUAUGAAUUUCAAAUAAACUAUAGCUACUAAUUGAAAUUAUUUCACAAAUAUUAUUUGCCACGGUAAUUCAUAAAACAUAAUCUGACAUUAAUUUAUAAAUAAUUAUAAUAGAAUAGAUUCUUCAAUUAUAGAAUAAAUUUAAAAGAAAAAAAUUAAAAAUGCCUAAUAGAUUGUCAAUGAGAUUGUUCCAAAAUAAUAAAACAUCUUGCAAGAAAAUAUAAUCAUAGGCCUUCAUUGAUUUGAUAUGCUAUCACUCCACACCAUGCAAUGACUCUUGACUUCGAGUUGCAAACAUCCUUUAAAAUCUUUCUUCCCAUCGUUUAUCUAAUUCUGCGAUCUUAUCCUCCAUUUCGUUCUUCAUUUCUUCUGAUUCUUCUUUAGCUUCUCGUUUGACUUUUUUCACACGCUCAUUUGAUUCCUUUCUAAUUGAUUCUACUUAUUUUAUGAGUUGAACCUUUGUCGGUCUUCCACCAAAGUAUUCACUGAUACUUUUUCCUGGUCCAUACGCACGAAGAUAUCCAUUUUUUUCAAUCCCAAGCACCUUUUCAAAAAUAUCAUCAUCAUUAAAGAAAAUUUCUCCUUCUUUUUGCUCUUUUUGUGUUGUUCUAAUUGAUCCUACAAUUAAAAAAAUAUUAAUUAAAUAAUUAUAUAAAUAUAUAUUCUAAAAGAAGAUGAAAUGAAAAGCAAAACUAAAACUUACAAUUACAUCUUGUUGAAAAGUAUCAAUUUAUUUUUCAUUUUUUCUCUUGCGCGAUUCAAUAAAGACUUCAACACGAGAAGGAGCUUUUCCAUCUUUCUUCUAUAAAAAUAAAAUAUAUUAUUGUUAAUUAGACAAGAUAUAUGAAUUAAGUAUUGUAAAUUCAUUCUACAUAUCAUUAUUCUAUAAUACCAUUUCAUGUCUAAGUCUUGAAUAAAUUUUAGUCCCACGGUAAGGAGGCAAGGAACGUCUCAGUCGAUUUGUCUUAUUCUGCAUACUUUUUUUCUGAAUAAAAUUGAAAGUAAAAAAAUAAACAACUUUUGUUGCUAAUAUAAAUAAUAAUAAAUAAAUUUAAAUACCUAAAAGUUCGCAUCACUCCAAAGAUUGAUCAAAUAUUUCCAGUCGUCUGAGACGACAAGUUUAGGCUUAUUGCGUAAGCGAAGUUGGUAAGUUAUUUUUGUAUCAAAAUACUUUUGUUUCAGCUUAUGUCUAUAAUCUCUAUAUAGAUCAUUCAUAUGACCCAAAAUUGCACCUUUUCUUUCCUUAGACACAUCAAAGUUAAACUUCUCCUACAAGAAAAAUGCAACAUACCGCUAUAAUUUAUAAUCAUAUUUCUUGAUAAUUUUGAGUUCACAAAAAAUAAAAGACAAUAAUAUUUUUAGUAUAUUCCAGCAAAAGAGGGUCUAAAAAGCUAAGAAUACACAAUUCAUAUCACUAUCUCAAAAUAAAAUAGGAUAGACAUAGUCAUGCACUAACCAGACUAGAUGUCCUAAGAGUAAAACUCGAUAACACAAGAUUGUCCAUGCACUAAUAACUCAAGGAUAAAAAAAUAGUAAAAGAUGUCAAUGUUUGUAUAGUUCACACCACUUUUGAUGUUAGGUGUUAUAUAUAAUACAAAAGUAACUAGUUAUAUAUAUAUAUAUAUAUAAUACAAAAAGUAACUAGUACAUAAAAAGGAUCACAACAACACAAAAAUAGGAUCACAACAACUUUCAAUUGGAUAGUCAAUGUCGACAGUUAAUUAGGGGUGGAGGGGGUUGAUUAGAUGCAUUUUUAAUCGUCCAAGUUGUUAAAAAUUUCUUUUUCUUUUUCAGUUCUUCUUAAACUUAUGGUAUACAUUAAGUUUACACAAUCAAGUAAAAUAGAUACACCUAAACACUCAAAAAAAAGUGUCAUUAGCAACCUGCUGGAAGUAAAACAAAUCUGCAAUAACACCUUAAAAUAUCUUGAUAGUGAAUACUUCAACCUAAGGAUAGAAACAUGCAAAAUAGGAUAGACAUAGGCAGGCACUAAUCAAAAUAAAGGUCCUAAAAGUAAAACUUGAUAACACAAAAUUGUCUAUGCAAUAACUCAAGGAUAAAAGAGUAGUAAAGAAUGUCGACAUUUGUAUACUUCAUAUGUUGUACUCUUCUUUUUUUUAAUACCUAUAAUACUCACCACCAUAUUUCAUAGGAUAUUAGUUUCUAGCUCAAAGGCUAUAUCAUCAACUGAUAAAUCAACAUGGUGAUGUAAAAAUUCUUAAUAAAACUGCUAAAACCACAAAGAAAUUAAGUUUUAACCAAUUCCUCCUCCUCAGAAAAUGACACCAAAAGUCGUAACAAAAACUUUAAGAGAGACAUACAAAAACAAACCCAAAGCUUUCAUCAAGCACAACAUGGAAAAUCAAAAUCAAACAAAUCAGAAAAUUUUAUACCAAAAUCACUCAAACUAACUCUAAAAAAAUUAAAGAAUUAAAAUAUUUUGUCAGUUAGCCAUUUAUCUUACCAGAAUGAUAUCCCACAUAUGAUCAAUCUUAUCUUGCUCAAUUUCCUUCCAACAAUUCACUUUCAACGGGCAACAAGAACGACUUCUCACUGUUUGACCAAAAAACCAAAUAAAUUGGGUUGCAUUAUCACCAAUUGCCUGAUGAUCUUCAUCAAAUUGUACACUCACUUUUUCUCCCUCUUGUAAGUUAAUUAUUUUCAAGUAUCGUGUUGGCCCUCUAGUUUUUCUUUUCACAAUGUUUGAGCCUACAUUUAUAAAUUAAGUAAAUAAUCGAAGUAAAAACAUCAACACAAAAAAUAAAAAUCAAUCAAGAACAAAAAGAAUACUUACAAAAUUUGUUGGCUCAUUUUCUUCAGCUGCUUCAUUCACUUCUUCAGACACAUUAUCCCUAUAAUUAUUUUCUUCGAGAGAAGUAGUUCUGAAAAUAUCAUAAUUUUUUGAUAAUGUAUAAAUCUCUAUAGGCUUUUCCUUAUGCAUCUUAUAACUAGAAAGCAUGUCCUUAACGUCUGAAUCGUCACAACAUUCUACCAGCCCAUCAUAAUCAUUCAUAAUUUUAUCACCUCUCAAAUAAAAGAACUUAUCUUUAUCUAAAACAGUACACUUACAGUGCUUUUUCAAAUCAUCCAACAGAUCAAAAUAACUCAUAAAAUCAAUGUCCAGAGUUGUAUUCAUCAAAUGCCCAUUCACAUAUUCUUUAGAGGGUCGAAAUUUAAAGUAGCCACCAUAAUGAUAGAUAAUUGUUGUAGACACCUAAUUUUGUCCCUCCCCGAUAUCAUUUUUAUCCAUUUUACCUUAUGCUACCAUGUACCCUCUUUCAUUUUAUUAUACCCCCACAAAAUAUAAAAAUAAUAAUAACAAACCUCUAACCAACUUUAAACCUCAUCCUAAUAACCUACCUAUCCCACCCCCCACAUUUUAUUCCUUUUCCAUAAUAAAAUGGGGCCCACAGGGAAUAUUAGAAAACUUUCAUUCUCCAUAUGGGGAUAUAGACAACAUUCUCUCCAUUGAUAUUAAAAAAAAGCAGCUGGAACCCACCUAACCACCGACAUUCACCCAGACCCACCGGAGAAGAAACAGAAAUGUGAAAGUAGAGGGAAAUCAGCUAGAAAAGUGGUUUUUCUGGUGAGUAUUCAUUAGAAAACGCCACUGCCGUCCCUUCUUCUUUAUUCUUUUGUCACCAUCGGAGCUCGAAGGAGCUUAUCGGAGCUCCGGUAGAAAUCGUGGAUUGUGGAAUGUUUAGAAUAUGUGUUGAAUGGUUUUGUUUACUGCAUUUGGAUCAAUUGUAUUCAUUUAGUUGGGGAAUGCCCCGGGGCUAUUUGUAUUUAUUCACCGGAGAAUGCCCCGACGUAUUAUGUUGGUGAAGGAUGAUCGUGAUGAAGGCCCGAGGCAUUAGGUAGAGCAUAGUUUAGGACUAGCGUAGGUUUAUUUCAGUAUUUUCUAUUUUGGUUUGUAAUAAAUUGGACUGAACAUUAUUAUUAUUUUGGUUUUGGAUUGUUGUUUGAUGCGUUUGAUGUUUUUUUAUGUGUUCUGUGUGGUUUAUACAUUCUUAGUAUCAAAAUUAGCCGAUACACUCCAUCAAGCGACCGUGGUCAAACCACGGGACUGAGGGGUGCCUAACACCUUCCCCUCGGUCAACAGAAUUCCUUAGUCGGAAUCUCUGUUCGCAAACCAGUUUUAAAGAGUCGAAUCAUUUUGAAAAGGAUCUUUCAAAAGUGACUUGGCACACCGGAUUAUGUCAAGUGGCGACUCUGAAUAAAAAAUGUAAAUAGUCCUUUUUGAAACAAUUUUUCAUAUUUUGUCACUUUGAUAAUAAAACCCUUCUAACUUAAAAUCCGAAUCUUUUUGGGAGUUGAAGAAAAGGGUGUGACAUCUCUGGCGACUCUGCUGGGAAAAUUUUUAGAAUUCAAGCUUAUUUUUGGAGUCGUAUGAGCUUUGUUUGGCAUAAUGGAUAUAUAAACAUUGUUUGUGAUUAUUGUUUGUGUUAUUGUUGUCACUGUUGUGUGUGUCCGUGCUUUUUGUUUACAGUUUUUCUUUACGUGUUACCGUUUUAUACCUGGUAUCAUGUGCAUAACCCGAGUCAUUCUUUCUGCAACAAGUUCUGUAGUACACACUGUAUACACGACCUAUAGUUGAGACACCCUUAUUUUAGGAGGGGGAGUCGUCGGCUGGUAUGGAGUAGGUGGACAUCCAAAGCAGCCACUAUCGACCAUACGCUCCCUCGAACAGCCUUGUUAGUGAACCCCAGCGUAGGUCAGCCUUUAGGUUAUGCUUAUCUGCAUCAUAUUGAGACCUAGCAGGACCCACUUGGUCCUUUGAAGGAAACUCACCUCUAAAGCAUCCCUAUGAGCUAAAUGUUGCAUCUCUAAGGGUAACAUGGUCAUUUGUCUGAUGUAGGGGAAAGCAUGUGUUAGAAGUAAAGUGUGUGGGCAUGAAAAAUCAAAAAAAGGGAAAAACGAGAAAAGUCGAAUCGAAAAAGAGCUUCAUCGUUUUUUUUAGAGUUUUUUUUUUUUUGGCUUUUGUUCUUCUGAAUCCAAAAAUUCAAAAGGAUUUUUACCUUUUAUGCUCAUUUGUCAAAAUCAAAAACAUCAAAAAGAUUUUUUUUUUUUGUUUUCUUUAGCAAGUAUUUACAAUUCGAAAACUUCAAAAAAAAAGAUUUUUCAUUCACAGAGUUUUUAGAUAAGAAAAUUGCAAAAAUUGUAGGGGUUUUGUACAUUUCAUGAAAAUAUCAAAAAGAUUUUUCUUUCAUAGUUGUUGGUGUCAGUUUUAUGUGGAGUGUCAAAAUGAAAACCACAAAAAAGAUUUUUAUCUUCGUAGUCUCGUCUCUCAAGUCAGGGUUCAGUCGUUUAUUUAAUCCUUAAUUAUCCUAUCUGGACGAACUAUGCACCCCUGAUUCUCCUCUCUCGGGACUGAGAUACGUAGGCAGCCUAUUGUUGGUUCGGGGAUCUUAUUUGAAAAAAAUUCAAAAAAUAUUUUUCUUCACUCUUUAUUUAGAGUAGGUGUCUAUACAUCAAUAAAAGAAAACUACAAAAAAGAUUUUCCCUUAAUAGAUUUAAGUUUCAUUUUCGUAUGAAAUGCAAAAUUGAAAACCCAAAAAAGAGUUUCUUUGGUAAUCAUACGUUUCAUUUUGUAUAGGUUAUUAAAUCUGAAAAAUUCAAAAAAUAUUUUCGCUUAUUCUUUUGACAAUUUGUCAUUUUUCUUUUCUUCUUAAAAUUUUAAGAAAAAAAAGAAAAAGAAAAAGAAAAAGAGUUUAUUUGGCCAUUUUGGCAAGACUUCAUGAACUAUGCAUAUCUGAUUCUCCUCUCUCGGGGGUGAGAUACGUAGGCGCCCUUCUUGGGUUCGGUGACCUUUUCAAAAAGAAAAAAAAAGAUUUUGACAAAGUGUUGAACUCUAACACAUUUGUUACCUCUUGUUCAGUUAGUUUGAGGUGGUUGGUUUGUGGCAUUUUGAUUGGUCCUCCAUAUUGCACCAAGUCACAGAGAAGGUUAUAGCCAACAAGGAUACUGAGUUUGUUGUCACUAAUCAGAUAGGGAGUUCAGGAAAUGAGAAUUUAGGAGCUAAUGAAGAGAUUCAAAAAUUAAGGCAGCAAAUGAUAGAAAUGCAUCGAGCUUGGGCUAAUGGGUUGCCGCCUCCUCCAGUUCCCACUGAUAAUCUGGAAUAUCUUUCUAGCUUGCCUCCUGUGUCACAUGCAUAAUUUCCCAUUUUUUUUAUAUGGCACAACAUGUAUUAGGGUAGACUCUGGGGCAAAAAUAUCCAACCACUUCCAGUGUUCAUUUCCUCACUCCCCAAUCCAAGACUAUCACAUACUCAGCUUCACCUGCUGUUCAUACUUUUGCGGUGCCACCUCCAUCUGAAGCUCCUAAUUUUGAUGUUCAUCCAUAAGUUGUGCAUUUCUACUCUACAAGAGAGCCUGCAUUGAAUAUUACUGGUGAUCAACGUUACACUUUUGAGCCUACAUUCAAGUUGAUUGGUCUUUAAGGUGACACUCACCCGCCUAAAUUUUCUUCUAUCACUGAGAAGCCUGUUAUAACAGAAGAACAAGAGGAAAUGACCAGAAAAUUGAGAAGUUUGGAACUGACUAUGAAGAACUUACAAGGACUUAGGGGUUACAAAAGUGUCUCAUAUAAAGACUUAAGCAUGUUUCUAGAUGUCAACCUUCCUCCUGGCUUUAAAAUGCCAAAGUUUGAGAAAUAUGACGGACAUGGGGACCCAGUGGCAUAUUUCAGGCGCUAUUUUAACCAAUUAAGAGGUGAUGGAGGGAAGGAAGAACAACUUAUGAAUUAUUUCGGGGAGUCUUUCAGGCCUAGCUUCGGAAUGGUUUGUUGACCAAGACAUUGACAAGUGGAUUAGUUGGGACGACCUAGCUAAUGAAUUUGUGCAACAAUUUCAAUACAAUGUGGAGUUGAUCCCUGAUGAAAAAUCCCUAAAUAGUACAAAAAAGAAGAAUACUGAGAGUUUCAAGGAGUAUGCAAUCAGAUGGCGCGAAGAAGCUGCUAGAGUAAAACCGCCAAUGAAAGAAAGCAAAAUAGUGAAGGUAUUUAUUCAAGCGCAGGACAAAACAUAUUAUCAAUACUUGCUACCUGUAUUAGGCAAGCUGUUCAUUGAGGUCCUUAAAAUGGGGGAGAUGAUAGAAGAGGGAAUUAAGACUGGUCGUAUUGUGAGUUUUGCAACAUUGAAAGUGACUACUCAAUCAAUUCAAAAGGGGUAUGGAAGUGUUGGGGAGAAAAAGAAUGAGGAGGAUGCAUCUGCUAUUGUAGUUGGAUAGCAGGAAAGGUCAAGAAAACCCCAUCGUUGUCACUCUCAGGCUCAAACCCAAGCUCAUGCCCAAGCUUCACAUAAUCGCUCCCAAAAUCCAUUAUACUCUGUUCCUUCACAUUCAUAUCCAGUGUAUAAUGUACAACCACAUGUUCAACCCCAUCUUACCCACAAUGGCAUACCCUAAGGACCCAAAGUCAUCCUCUAAAUCCAUACACAUACCAAAGCCCUUCUAGGCCAGAUUUGCUAUCCAAGCCAAAUAAUGAAAUGAGGCAGAAGUAGAGAGAUAGAUUUACACCAAUUGGGGAGUCAUAUGCCAGUUUAUUUUAGAGAUUGAUACAUGAGGGCAUGAUCACUCCUCUUCUUAGGCACACCCUUAAUCGGCAUUCAAGAAAUUUUGAUCCUAACACACGAUGUGCGUAUCAUUCUGAUGCUCAGGGUCAUAGUAUUAAAGAUUGUCGAUAUUUGAAAAGAGAAAUUGAAAAUAUGAUUUAAGAUGGAUCAAUUAUGGUGCAGAACAUUGAUAGUAGGGGAAGCUCUAGUCAUGCUGAUAUGCAAACCAGUGGCUAAGUUGUCAGGCUAAGCAAUUGAGAAGUCAUUCCUCUCAUCACUAGAAAGAGGUCUGGUAGUUUGUUUUGUCUUCUUUUCUGUUUUCUAAAUUAUUUUAGGAUUGUAGUUCGGGAUCUAUCUUGUUUUGUCCCUUUGUCGUUUAUGUUCAAACUCUUCUAUCUUUUAUUUCAACUAAAAUUAUCCCUUUCCCCUUGUGUUUUAAAUAUGUGUUGUUUAUUUGUUUUCUUUAUACAGUACACUUUAUGUUGAUUUUAGUGAUAUGACAUUCCUAUGGAGCCUUUAGCCAUAUCUUAAAAAUCCAAUUUAACCAUGAAACAUAAAAUUAGAGGGCUAAGGUUAGAAAAAAAAGAUCUAAGAUAAUUGGUAGAGUGCUGAGACAUUUAGGGACAAGUUGAAGCCCUCUUUCAAAAUUAAGGCAAUUAUUUUGAGAAUCACAAGAAUAACUUGGACAACAAUUAAAAAACAUAACUCAAUUAGGUCAAACAGUGUUUGCAUGAUACUAUCAAGAGGAACAGGAAGAAAAUUAACUCCAUGAAAGCAUGAUGAGUCAUUCAAUGUGAGGGAUGUACAACAAAUGUGGAGUUGUAUGUUUGACAAGUAUAGAAAAAGAGGUGGAACACAUGUUCGGGGCAAGUUAGUAUUGUAAAACAUGUCAUAAAUAAUGUUGAUCGUGCACUUUCACAUUGUAUGCUACGUACUAGUAUUUUCAAGGAUUGAUAUGACGAAGACAUUUUUUACUGUUUUCCAAACAUUGUGUCAUCCUUUGUUUACCCCAUUUGAGCUUUAGUCCUAUUUUCUUUCAUACCCCUCUUUUGGAAUUAAGAUAAAGCCAACAAAGCUCAAAAGAAAAGUAUCGAGAAAGAGAAUAGAGUAAGAUAGUUUCAAAAAAAGGGGGAGAAAAAUGUGUCCACGAAGGAACAAAAGAGUUUCAGGAAAUUAGAGUCAGAAAAAUCACAAAAAAAAGUCAAAAGAAAAAAGAAAUCAGAAUCAAACAAAACAAGUUGUCAGAUCUACGCGUGACCUGAUUCUCCUCUCUCGGGGGUGAGAUACGUAGGCUGCCCUACUCUGGGCUCAGUCCAACCAAAUAAAAAAUUUAGAAUUGCUCAGUUUGGGGCAUGAGUUGAUUCUUAUUGUUUGAGUCGAUUCUAAAAGUUGUAAGUCCUACCGCACUUCAAGUGUCGUUUGAGCCCCAUGCCAUUCUUUCUUUCUAACCCUAUCCAAAAGCCAAGUUACAACUAAAGAAAGACCUUCAGAUCAAUCUUUAAGGAUCUUAAGGCUAAGUAUGCAAGGGAUAUGAUAAUGCAUUUGGGAACUACUUGUCUUCCUGAGCAUAAGAAAUUAGGAGAGAAAUAAAAAUGAGAGAGUCUUAUUGGUGAAAACCCUCACGGGCACCGUAAGACGAUGGUAAGUUGAGAGAAAUAAAAAUGAGAGAUUCUUAUUGGUGAAAAUCCAUACGGGCACCGUAAGACGACUGUGAGUUGGGAUAGAUGAAAAUAAGAGAAUCUCAAUGGUGAAAAACCCUCAUGAACAACAUGAGGUAAUGGUGAAUUGAGAGAAAGAAAGAAGCUUGUUGGCGAAAACCCUUCAAGGCGCCACUAGCCGAAUAGGGUCUUAAAUGCAAUUGACCUAAGGAAGCAACUCAGUUUCAAGGCCAUUAACUCAACAACAAUAGGUAGAAAGUUUGAAUGAAAAGAUCAAGCUGCUUAAUCCAAAAUUCAUGGAAUAAUCAUUAGUGUUGACUGUCAUUUUUAGAUGAAUGUUUCAUUUUUUUUGUUUCAAAAGGGGACAUUCAUUGUCUUUUCUUUUUUCUCUUUAUUUUUAUUUUAUCUUUCUUGAGUCAGUUAUCCAAAUAAAAAUUGUCAUUUUUUUUUCUCUUGUCUUUGAAUCAAGUCCGUGUCAAAACAAGUGAGAAAAAAUUUCAAAACUGGCUACCAGUUUCUUUAAUUUCCCAAAGCAAGACAAAAGCUAGCGCAUGAAAGAGGCAUGAUUGUGAGCCAAAAAAAGUGCAUGCAGAAUGUUUUUUCAACAGACAAGUCGGGAAACUCAUAAAAAUUUCAGGGUUCAAAGGGUCUAUUUAAGAAGCAUGGAAAAGCAGAGAUACUAUGUUGUUUCAGUAACUCUUAAUAAUCUGAGUUUGGGUCAAUGAUUCAACAAGUCAAUGAUAUAUGCUAAUGGUUGGAAUCAAGGUUAAAGGUGAGGAGGGCAAGAGCGAUCGUCGCGAAAGCUAAAGCCACAAACCAGCCACCAUGUUUUAAACUCACAAGUUUUCUUUGAUGAAACAAGAAACAUAUUACCUUCAAAGCAGGGACUUCAGAGCAUAAACAACAAGGGCUGCAAUGCCUCACUUUUACAAAUGCAGGAAGCAAUAUUGUUGCACAGGUUUAAUAAUAAAAUCAUGGUAAAAACUCAUCAUCCUAUAUCCCUCAGAGACACACUUGUCCAGGGAUUUUAGUUUUCAUUUGCUAGGUGAUACACUUCUUAAAUUGAACCUUCACUCCUAGAAGAUGUACCUUUUAGUCGAAUCAUUCUCUUUGAUGAGUCAUUCCCCUUGACCCCUAGAAGACGUACCUUUUAGUCGAGUAAUUCCCCUUGACCCCUAGAAGAGGUACCUUUUAGUUGAUUCAUUUCCUUUGAUUCCUAUAAGACGUACCUUUUAGUCGAGUCAUCUCCUUUGAUUCCUAUAAGACGUACCUUUUAGUCGAGUCAUUCCCCUUGACCCCUAGAAGACGUACCUUUUAGUCGAGUAAUUCCCCUUGACCCCUAGAAGAGGUACCUUUUAGUUGAUUCAUUUCCUUUGAUUCCUAUAAGACGUACCUUUUAGUCGAGUCAUCUCCUUUGAUUCCUAUAAGACGUACCUUUUAGUCGAGUCACUCCCUUUGAUUCCUAUAAGACGUACCUUUUAGUCGAGUCAUUACCCUUGAACCCUAGAAGACAUACCUUUUAGUUGAGUCAUUCCCUUUGAUUCCUAUAAGACGUACCUUUUAGUCGAGUCAUUCUCCUUGAUUCCUAUAAUGAUGUGACUUUCACAAAAAUCCUUUGAUGAUAAACUAGGGCAAAAUCUAAUUUUUGUGUUGGAACUUUACUUUUCUGGAAAAUGAAACCCUUUUAUAAUAAUAUUUGUUUGGGAUAAUUUUCUUUUUAGUUUUGAUGUGAUUUCAAGAGCCCGCCUAGAGAACAGGGUGAAGAAAUGAAAAGUCUAGCAACAAAGUGAAGAAGUUGAAAGUCAAGCAACAAGGUGAAAAGUUGAAAGUUAACAGAUUGAAAAAUAGCAAGUCAGGAGCCCACCUGAAUAAUAGGGUGAAGAAAUUGAAAGUUAAGCAAUGAGGUGAAAUAAUUGAAAGCCAAACAACAGAAUUCAGGAGCCCGCCUAAAGAAUAGGGUGAUGAAGUAGUGAGUCAAGAAUUAAGGAAAACUGCAUGAAUAGGAUUUUGUAAUUCCAUUUAUGUUUUAACUUGUAAUUAUCAUUUCUGAUGUAACAACAGAGCCGCGGACCGAAACCUCGAUGGGACCUUACUCAACUCUCCAACUCGGUAUAGUCCAUCUCCCUCCAAUCCUUUGAGAUAUAUGUCACUUGAUUCCCUUAUAACUAGGGUAGUUGUCUUAAAUCAAGAUUAGGUUGUCCUUCUCCCUUUUAUUUCUUCCUUCGAAUAAUGAUUGGGACAAAAUUCCAUCUCGUUGUCUACUUCUUUGAAUGAAAACACUCCGUAUUUGCAGUUAAAGGGGCAUGAUGUAGACACCAAAUUUUGUCCCUCUUGAUAUUAUUUUUAUCCAUUGUACCUUAUCCUACCAUGUACCCUCCUUCAUGUUACUAUAACCCCACAAAAUACAAAAAUAAUAAUAACAAACCUCUAACCAACUUUACACCUCAUCCAAAUAACCUACCUAUCCCAGCCCCCACAUUUUAUUCCUUUUCCAUAACAAAAUGGGGCCAUAGGGAAUAUUAGAAAACUUCCAUUCUCCAUGGGGGUAUAGAUAACAUUCUCUCCAUUGAUAUAAAAAAUAAGCAACUGGAACCCACCCAGCCACCGACAUUCACCCAGACCCACCGGUGAAGAAAUAGAACACGCACUCACCGGAGUUGCGCGCACAUAUACACACAAAUAACCAUAAAAUCUCACCCCCACGUGCACACAUAUCUGAUCGGGAGAGAAAUAAAACAAAAGGAGAGUGAAAUCGAGAGAGAAAAGGGAAAACCCCAUGAAAAAUAAAGGUGAAAGUAGAGGGAAAUCAGCUAGAAAAGUGGUUUUUCUGGUGAGUAUUCAUCGGAAAACGCCACUGUCAUCCCUUCUUAUUUAUUUUUUUGUCACCAUCGGAGCUUACCGGAGCUCCGGCGACACGAAAGCAGUCAACACCAACUCUGGUUCACCUCAGAUUCCAUCCAAAUCUGGUGUGAAUCUCUCUUGGUUUGGUGAUUUCCAGUUCGGGUUCAGGAGAUUCACCGAAAUCUAGUCCAAAUUUCUCUCUACUUCGCAAUUUUUGCUUUUUGGGAUCGAUUUGGCAUUCGUUUGAGUUCGUCAGAUCGGGUUUUGACUUCGGUUCCAAUCCGUUGGCUCGUCGAACAAUUCAGAAAUAAAAUCGAGGUUCAAUUUUUCAACUCUGUUUCUUUAUAUUUUUGUGGUGUGUUGAUGUCGUGAUUUGCAUGAUUUGUGGUGGUUGACGAUAUAAUUUUGAUUUUGAUUUUGUUUCUAUAAUUAUCGUAGCUUGAUUAGUUGAUUUUAUAUCGAAAUGGAGUAAUUGUGCGGUUGAGAAUUAAAUUGGGGGUCAUGGAUUGAAAAUUGAGAAAAAGUGAUUAUUGAUUAAUUUUGAUACAUUGAUGGUGUUUAACAUGAUAGAAUUAUGAUAUGUAUAAAUUGGUAGGCAAAUGGUAGGUCGAGUAGGCAAAUUUAGAAAUCGUGGAUUGUGGAAUGUUUAGAAUAUGUGUUGAAUGGUUUUAUUUACUGCAUUUGGAUCAAUUGUAUUUAUUUAGUUGGGGAAUGCCCCGAGGCUAUUUGUAUUUAUUCAUCGGGGAAUGCCCCGACGUAUUAUGAUGGCGAAAGAUGAUCGUGAUGAAGGCCCGAGGCAUCGGGUAGAGUAUAGUUUAGGACUAGCGUAGGUUAGUGUAGGUUUAUUUCAGUAUUUUUUAUUUUGGUUUGUAAUAAAUUGGACUGAACAUUAUUGUUAUUUUGGUUUUGGAUUGUUGUUUGAUGUGUUUGAUGUUUAUUUAUGUGUUCUGUGUGGUUUAUACGUUUUUAGUGUCAAAAUUAAUCGAUACGCUCCAUCAAGCGACCGUGGUCAAACCACGGGACCGAGGGGUGCCUAACUCCUUCCCCUCGGUCAACAGAAUUCCUUAGUCGGAAUCUCUGUUUGCAAACCAGUUUUAAAGAGUCAAAUCGUUUUGAAAAAGAUCUUUCAAAGGUGACUUGGCACACCGAAUUAUGUCAAGUGACGACUCUGAAUAAAAAAUGUAAAUAGUCCUUUUUGAAAUAAAUUUUCAUCUUUUGUCACUUUGAUAAUAAAAUCCUUUCAAACCUUAAAAUCCAAAUCUUUUUGGAAGUUGAAAAAAAGGGGUGUGACAAUUCCAACCACACUUAUCAUGUCCACACUUUCUAAAAAAGUUAUCAAACAUGAGUUAGCUAAAUAUAAUUAAAUAAAUACAAUAAUUUGUCUAAUUUCUAAGAAUAGUUGCAUAAAAAGCUAUAGAAUUACCGGAAUAAAUAAGUUCAUCUACAUGUUGCAUGGGCACAUUUUCUUUAUCGGAGGUCUUAUUAAAACUCAUAACAGAUUUCAUUCAUCAUUGUCAGUCACGCAAUUAAUUUUUUUCGAAGAUCAUUUCCACCCAUUCUAGUAAAAAAAUAAGCAUUCAUAAGAUACUAAAAUACAUCUGUAUAAAUACAAAUAUAAAUAGUAAUACAUAAUAAAGAUCUUUCUUCAACAACUACAACUCAAUGAUAAAAAAUUAAAAGCAAUUUCAAAAAUCAAAAAACGAAAAAAUUCAAUUUUACAAAACAAGUAAAGAUUUUUCUUCAACAACAACAACUACUACUUAUCAAUGUUGAAAAAAUAGAGCAAUAUGAAGGAUCUAAACUGACCCAUCAACCUAAAUGCACACCAAACACAAAUUAAAAAUAUAAAUUAAAAGCAAAAAAAAAUUUCCUGAAGAAAGUGAUGAGUUUCAAGAAAAAGGGAUCCAUUAAUCCAGCGGAUUAUAGUAAAAUUUGCAGAAAAAACUGAGUUCAAUUAAUUGUAGAGAAAUUUCAAGAAAGAGAUUGAUAAUUGAAACAAUUAACAAAAACAAAACUUGAAGUAUAGAUUGAUGAUUGAGAUAGAGGAAGCAAUUGUACAUUUUUGGAGGGAGAUUUUGUCUUUGAAAGUUUAGGAUUUUUGACUUCUGAAUUUCUUCAAUAUAGAAAAAAUAAGAUGAAAUUUGACCCUUGUCAGCGUUUAAUCUCUCUAAUAUAGUAAAAAAAAAAAGCUACAAUUUGGCAAAAAAAAAAUAGAGGGAAAUAUUUUGGAGGGAUUUUUUUUUUUUUUGGGGGGGGGGGGGGGGUAAUUUUUUUUCACUUUUUAAAUUUUUUUUGAUAUGUAAAUGUACUAUUCCUUUUUCAUGUAUUUUCUUAAAUUUACUUAUUUUGGUUUGUCACUUUUUGAUUAUUACAUAUUAUUUUAUAACUAUAUUAGAUAUGAAUUAUGAUAUUCAUAUACUUAUAUAAUUACAUAUUUAAUUACUAAUUAUUAAUGAAAUUAAUUAUAAUUAUAUUUUAAAAUAAUUAUUAAUUAAUUUAAAUUAAUAGCAUAUCAUGAAAUAUAUAUAUAUAUAUAUAUAUGGUUCGAUUUGAUUUUGUGUAUUAUUAUUUGGUCAAUUUAUCAAUUUAUAAACAUGCAAAAUCAAUAAGAAGAUGGUCUUAACAGUUUGAAUCAUAUAUACACUAUCUUCAUGCAUUAAAGUCUACAAAAAAAAUAUAAGAAUGAGUAAAUUCAAAUACGUUAGUGCUAAAAUAAACUUGUUUUAUCUAUAUAUUAUUAAAAAAAGAGGACAAAUCUUCUCCAUUUAGUCAAGUGGAAGCAUUAUAUAUUAACACACGUCAGAUUAGCUAAUUAGUUAGGAUAAAGUUGUUAAAUCUGUUGGCUUACCAAUUUUGAAUUCAAAUUUUCAGUUACAAAAUUUUAUAUUCAUUUGAUGUUUUUAAAAUUUUAAAUUCAAAUUAUCCAAUUAAUUUACACUUCUAAAUUUUUAGUUCCAAUGUUGGUAUAUUAGUUGGUUAUAAUUGCUACCCUUUACACUAUAAUAUAAUACACUAUAAAUUGGUUAUAAUUACAUUAGUUUUUAAUUAUUCUUUCCAAAAUUCCUACGUUUACCUAACUAACAAAUAUAAACUUCAUAAACUCGCAUUAAAGAAGAAAAUCUUAUUCAUAACUUCAUAAACUCGCAUUAAAGAAGAAAAUCUUAUUCAUAACUUCAUAAACUCGCAUUAAAGAAGAAAACCUUAUUCAUACACUCUCCAGUCAUCGGUUGAAUCUAUAAACUUAAUGGAGUUAACAACUACUUCAUGGAUUAUUUUAAAGUCACGGACUGAAUGUACAAAAUUUCAUUACAUUAGCAAUUUAAUAUUUUAAGUUCAAAUUAUUGAUAUGUUGGUUAUAAUUGUAACCUUUUACAUAAUAAUUUAAUACAAUAUAAAAUAUGAACUUCAUUUACUUUAUCUAUAGAACAAAAUUGAUGUUGAAUUUGUAAUAUAUAAGUCCACUAUUUUUUAUUUUUUUAAAAAAAACAUAACUAAACAUUAUCAAUAACAUCUUACAAAGAAUAAAAUACACUGUUUAUUAUAAAUCUUUUAACUUGAAAGCAACAUUCAUUUAUAGUAUAUUGGCAUCACUAAAAACAAAUUUUGAUUGUGAUGUAACCUCCUCAUUGAACCAUAUGUCAUCAUAUACAAUAUCCAAUAUCCAUCUGCAUUGAAUAUUGAAUUGCAAAUAAAUUCAUAUGUUAGUGAUUCAUUAUUACAUUAAUCUGAAAAAAAAUCAAAAGUUAUAAAUUUGAAUAAUGUGACAAAUAUAAACGAAUUGAUAAAGUUGCAUUAAAAUUUCUGAUAUAUAUAUAUAUAUAUAUAUCUUUUAUCACCAUCUUACUUAUCCGGUACACAAUUGAAUUCUAUUUAUCCAGAACACAGUUGAAUCCUACGUACUACACAACUACAUCUUCUUAUCCGUAUAGUUAACUGCCCUGAUUCUUUAUUCCCUUUCAUCUAUAAAUUAUGUCCAAUUCUAAUGUAAUACCACUUCUAACUCUUAAAAUCCUCACUUUAUUAUAUAGAAAGCUUCAAAUACUCAUGCAAAAAUUGUGAGUUCGUAAAUAACUCCAGUUCUUUUAUCCCUUACCAUAACUUACACAGUUGAAUCCUACGUACUACACAACUACAUCUUCUUAUCAGUAUAGUUAACUGCCCUGAUUCUUUAUUCCCUUUCAUCUAUAAAUUAUGUCCAAUUCUAAUGUAAUACCACUUCUAACUCUUAAAAUCGUUACUUUAUUAUAUAGAAAGCUUCAAAUACUCAUGCAAAAAUUGUGAGUUCGUAAAUAACUCCAGUUCUUUUAUCCCUUACAAUAAUUUACGGAUACGUACAUACUCUAAAAAAUGAUAGACUUCAUCAAAGACAUAAAAAUCACAAAAAUGCAUUGGAAGUUAAAAGUCUUCGUUGUUUGACUUUGGAAAAUGAAAGAUCGCUUUAAUCCCGAUGCUUUGUAUGCAAUUGAAAUGAUUCUGUAGGAUGAAUGAGUAUCCAAAUACAUACUCCUGAAUUUCUAAAUACUUUAAAAUGCUCUGGAAUUUCAAAUCAUGCCAUCACUUUAAAAGUUGGUGUAUCCAUGAUGUUAUUGAGAAAUAUAGAUCAAUCCUCGGGGCUUUGUAAUAGAACAAGAUUAAUCAUCACUAGAAUUGAAAAUUGGGUUAUCGAGGUGAAGGUCUUAUCAGGAAAUAUGAUUGGACAAAAGGUUUUUAUACCAAGAAUGUCACUGACUCCGUCAAAUUUGAGAAUACCCUUUAAAUUUCAGAGAAGACAGUUUUCAAUAGUGGUAUUAUUUGCCAUGACUAUCAAUAAAAGUCAAGGACAAUUUUUAUCUCAUGUUGGGUUAUAUUUGAAGAAAGCAGUUUUCACACAUGGCCAGCUAUAUGUUGCACUAUCACGGGUGACAAAAAGACAAGGAUUAGAGAUUUUGACAUAUGAUGAUGAAGGAGAAGUUUCAAAUGAAGCAACUAAUGUAGUUUUUAAAGAAGUUUAUCAUAAUUUGAGUGUAAAUUAAAGCUAAUUUGAUCCAAAUUGCAAAUUAGGGCUCAACAAAUAUCAUCAAUUUAUUGAGGGUUAGACUUAGCUUUUUUUAUCAGUCAAAUAGAUAAUAAAAGUUAUUUUUUGCUAUAGUAAGCAUAUAGCAGAAGUUAGUUAUUAUGUAAGUUUUUUAUGACUCGUUAGCCUUUUCAUUUAUUCUCUUUGUAAGUUUUAUUCAAGUAUUAUAAUAAAAUUUUUUAUAGAAUUAGAGAUUAUUUCUACAUCUAAUUAAAUUAUAGACUUUUGAAGUAAUUCCACAAAUGAUUUCUAGGGAGAGUAGGAUGUAUGUACGCAAAAAUUACCUAUCUUUGUAAGGUACAACAGAGGCUGCUUCCUAGAUCCCCGGCUCAAAAAAAAGUAUAAGAUGCAGGUUUUCUUCUUGUGAUUGAAUAUUUAUGAGGUUUUCUUUCUUUUUACAUAUCAAACUAGGAAGGGCAUCUAGAAUACAAAAAAAACAUGUGUUUCUGCCAUCAUGCAAGAUAUAAUCAUAUGAAUGAUACCCAAAACUAAAUUGACACAAGUUAAAUUAAUCGAACUACAAUUUACCUGUGUAACUAAUGACAACUGAUGCUUCCUUCAAAUAGUCAACUUUACUUGAUGAAAAUGUGAAGUACUACACAAUUUCAGACCCAUUUUUAACUGUUAACUAGAAAGAUAACAAUAUGAUAUAAUCAAUUGUAAAAAAAGAAAGAAUAACAAUUAGCAGGCAAGAAGUGAUGCACUUCAAGAUGGACAUGUAACAAACAGUGGCAUCUAUAAGUUUUCAGAGCACGAGUGAGUUCUAAGAAAUUACGCAAAUACUUUUAUAUUACAUUAAAAUAUUUAACUAGAUAACCAAUAUUUACAUUAGAUAGGAAACUUGACCUCAAAAACAAAUUGAAAUAAUAGACAAUGUGAUUGAACAUUUGUCCAGGUUAUCCUUGAAGUCUUAUUUACAUUCAACAUGUUUAAACCCAAACACUAAAUGUGCAAAUGGGAUAUUAGCAUCUACAAGAAUUAAGACAUGACAACACAUAAUACUAGGAAAAAAUUAUCCUUGAAUUUGCAUACUCUAUACACAUACGAUCUCAAAUUCUGAAUUAAUUGAAUCCCAAUGAAUAAAAUUCAUUUUCCAGUAAUGGGCUAAAUCUAUAUCCUUUCACUGACUAAAGCUACAUAUCAAUGUAUUUUGUAAGAGCGUUCAAAUUUUAUAGUUGGUAAAAUAUAUGUAUUUUAUGAACAGACACUCAUAAUCUGAACUAACAAAUGAUUAUAUGCUCUACAAUCUGAUAUCGUCAAUUAAUCCAAGUUCAAGUAACACACAUUAUAUCCAUGAUAUCUAGCAAACAUGGCCAAGUUUCACUAAGAGAUAGUUCUUACCAUUAAUCAACUAACUCACGUUCGGUUUUUAAGAUCAUUGCAAAUUUGCCUUAAAUCUUCAUAUUGGAGACAUCACAUUAACAACGGGAAACAGAUCAGCUAGCUAUACACCUAAUGACACACUCUAAAAUAAUACAUAGUAGCUAAACUAUUUGCAAAAUGCAAAUCUUACUAUCAAUAGAAAUCAAUACAAUUAAUACAAAUUUAAAUAAGCAAAAUUAAUGAGUGAACAAGAAGCACACACCUUUACUGUCCUCUCUUGAAGAAGUUUGCUUGGAAUAACACCAAAUCGUGCAUAGAGACUCAGGUAUUGGUUGAUCUGCAGGUUAUGGCAAUAGAUACAUCAACCGUAGUAUCUAUACAAUAGAUAGAAAGCACAAGUCUAUGUAAAGCAUUAUUACUUUCACAUUCCACCUCAGAGGCGGCAUAUUUUGUAGGAUAAAAAUAAUUAGUUUUAACACACUGUCACUAUUAAUCAUUGGUUCAGACAAACAAAGCAUUGCCAUAACAGCAUUGAAGUCUGACUAUAUAGGUUCAGAGACCAAAAAUUACAAGAACAACUCAAGGUACAUUCCAGGACACAGAAGUCUUCAGUACAAAUUAACUCAGUCCUAAUAACAAAAUCAACAAUGCAGGAUUACACAUGAAGCUGUUACAUAUUAACAUGUGGGUGCGUAGCUUGCAAGUUGAAGCAAUGUGCAAAAUCAAACCCAAUUUGUGUUAGAUUAAUGGAUUUGUAGUUGUUAUAUGUUAGAAUAAAGAAGCAAGUUCCUGUUAGAUAGUCAAAUCUACAUAUCCGGCCGAAAGGUUUCAGCUAAAAGCAUCAUGCAAAUAAAUUAUUAGUCAUAUGAAGCACAACAUCACCACAUCUUCCUGCCAUUAUUUGGAUGAAUUCUGUUGGCUCCAACUGAAUCAAUAUCUUUAAGACGAUUGUAAGCACAAUUCUCAAAAGUUCAACUUCAAGAUCAGUUUGCUCAUCUUUUGCAAUAGUAUCUAUAAAUCACGAUCCAGAGUUAGCAAAUUUAGAUGAAAAACACAGACAACUUAUUGUUUACCUUGAGAGUCGCUUAAGCAAUUAGCCUUUGCAUCUUCAACAGAAUCAUCAAGAAGGAGUGGACUCACAAGAGCCUGAAUGAAAACAAAUCAAAUCCAGAAAACUAUAACAAACACUCAACAGUUCAGAAGAAAUUCAGAAAAGAUGAAAACAGAAUUCAAUAAAAUAGCAAAAAGGAAAGACAAACCAAAAGAUUUAGCUGCUUGGCACCAUACUUAUAGACAAAAAAAAAUAGUAUCAGCAAUGAGUCUAUUGCAGAUUUUAGGACAGCUCAUACUCUAAGAGAAGGAUUUUACUAUCAGUUAACAGUGUUAUUAAAAGCUAAACAAAGCAAGGAACCAAUGUGAAACAAGGACUAUCUUUAUUAGUAGAUAUGUCUUAAUAUAUGCAAUGCAAUCACAGAAACAAGAUUAUAGGAGUAAGAAGAUACCAUUAACAUCAUAAUAUAGCUCCAAAUCUUAUAUUAAUCAAUAAUUUUUGUUCGAUUCUAUAUUUUUCUCAGCUCAGCUGCAUCAAAUGUCUAAUUUCACUUGGAUGUUCGAAUUAAAGAGGUAAGAAAUCACAAGAAAAGGAGAGCAUACCAGACAUUAUAAAGACCAUGAAAUCAGACACUAACUGACAAAAUAAGAAGAUUAUUUUUCAGCAUCUACAACAAAUUUAACAACAAAAAUCAUAGCUUUCAAUUGCACGCUCAAACUAAAAUUAAAAAAAAUCACAAAAAAAGGAGAAUUUGUCAGACGUUACCGAGACCAUUUAUCAGAUACAGACGAAUGUCUAAAGAAUAAUUUUUCGACAUCUACAACAAAUUUAACAACAAAUAAAUCAUAGAUUUCACAUGCAUGUUCAAAUCUAGAAAGAGUAAAAGAAAAUUAUCAUAACAGGAGAACUUACCAGACAUAACGGAGCCCGCAAAUCAGAUACCAAACGACAUAAAUGGAGAUUAUUUUCAAAGAUCUAUGUAAACUUAACAAUAAACAACUUGGAUUGAUUCGAAGAACCAACAAUAAACAAGUCAAAAUACUUUGAUAAAACUAAGUUAGAAAAAAUAAAAUCUUAAACGUUUCAGCUAUCAUUUUCUGUUCCAAUUAAGUACAUAAUACAUAUUUGUUAAAAUUAUGUUCGAAUUUGGAGGUUGAAAAAUAUUGAUGAAGGUGAAUAGGCAACUUUUCAGACAUAAAAUACUAACAAGGGUACUUUCCCAAAUCUAGAAAUGUCUCUAUGAAUAUAAUAUUGCUUCAUUAAUAUCUUUAGUCUUUUGGAAUGGACUUUUAUAUACUUAUUUUUAAAAUAUGGAUUGCGCUUUCAUUUUACUUUUGGAUCUAUUUAUCUCAUAUAAAAUAUUUCUUGAAGAAGGUACAUUAUAAUAUGUACUAUUUCUUAUAAGAAAAUGAUAAUACACAGGCACUCACGUAUAACUCUUUCUAAUUUAAUCUAACUUUUUAGCUUUACCAUUCUUUAACCUUUUUCUUGAUUUUCUUUUCGUUGUACUUUAUUAUAUCAUAAAAAAAAAAAUAUUACAUUCAAUAAGAAAAUAAUAAAAAUAUUAAUGUAAAAAUAAUUUAAUAUUAAUUGAUUAAAAAAUAAAUAUGUCAUUGAACUUAGAAAUAUUAAAAAUUUAUUUCAUACGUAAAAUAUAUCCACAUUCAUGUAAUUAUUAUAAAUAAUUUUAUCCUUUUGUACCACUCCUUUUAAAAUUAGUUCAUUUUUAUUAUUUUAUUUAAUGAUAUUUUUAGUAUCGUAAAUGACUAAAAACAAUUAAUAAAAUUUAAUGACCAUUUCUAUGUCAAAUAAUUUCACAAACCACAUUUUAGUUACAUCCAUUACCCAAUUUUCUAAAUCAAAUAACAAUUUCUUAAUCAGAUACAAAUAAUUUAAUUAUAUUAUACUGCACAUAAAUGUAUAAUUAUUUUUUAAACUAGAUUAAACCAUUGCAAUCAAUAAUUAUUUAAAAAUUACGCUAUUUAUCCACGAAUCGCGCGGGUACGUAUACUAAUUUUACAUUAAGUAACAAACUUGAAUUCAUUAAACUUAUUGAAGUUUUAAGUUGAUGGAGAGAACCCAAACAAAUGAACGACUUUAGAAAAAAAAAAAUAGUAGACAACAAUCAUAAAAUGCAAAAUACAAUAGGAGAAAUAUUAUAUUGUAUUUGAGUGAGAUUUAUUGAAGUUUUAUUUAAAUUUAAUAUAAUUAAUUAAUAGAGGUAAAUGAAAUCACUAUUUAUCUAAGUUGUAUUUGAAACUAACAAGUAGGAUUUCAUAAAAUCAAAUGGAACCGAAUGAUGAACGUCUCUAAUUACACUAAAUCAAUAAAAGUGUGUCAUCCCAACAAUAUUGUUUGGAUAAAAUAAUAUUUUUCAAAAUAAUUAAUUGAUUGAGAUGAAGUUUUGAGUCAAUCAAAAUUAAUAUGCACUUACUUAUUUAAGUUAGUUUUAAGACAUACACAUUACAAAAUUCGAUCAAAUCAAUAUAUAUAUAUAUGUUGGUUUGAUUCAGGUUCAGUUUGACUUUUUUAUGGUUAACGCCAAACCAAAUAAAGAAUGGUCAGGUUUAUUUUUCUAGUGCCAAAACAAUCAAACCAAAUCAUAAGUCAAUUUUUUUCUCGAUUUGGUUUGGUUCGUCGGUUUGAUUGACUUGAUGGUUUGGUCUGUACAGCCCUACUAUGUACCAUCCUACAUAACAUAUUCAUAUUCUACAUAAGGUUCUACAUUUAUUAUGCCACAUAAAAUGCUUACACGGCAUAUUCAUAUUCUAUGUAAGAUCCUAUGUGUAUUAUGCCACAUAAGAAGCUUAGAUAAUUUGUGGAAAUAAACUGGGAAUCAGAAUAAAAAGAUAUUUGUCAUACCCCUUUUUCAAUCGAAAAGAUUCGUUUUAAGUUUUGAAAGGGUUUUUAUUAUUAAGUGACAAAAUAAAGCAUGUUUGUUCCAAAAAGGACUUUUAUCAAUUAAAACUCAGACUCGCCGCUUGGCAAGAUCGGGUGCGCCAAGUCACCUUCGAAAAUCUUUUUAAAAAAUAUUUGACUCUUUAAAACUGGUUUGCAAACAGAGAUUUCAGUUAAGGAAUUCUGUUAACUGAGGGGAAGGUGUUAGGCAUCCCUCGAUCCCGUGGUUCGACCACGGUUGCUCGAUGGAGCAUAUCGGCUUAUUUAACACUACAAAUGUAUAAACCACAUAAAACAAGCAACAAACAAAUCAAACAAAGUUCAAAACCAAAAUAAUGACCAGUCCGAUUAUUACAGACCCAAAAUAAAAGGUACUGAAAUAUAAACCUACGCUAACCUACACUAAUCCUAAACUACACUCCACCCGAUGAUUCGGGCCUUGAUCACGGGCCUCCUUUGUGUACAUGAUACUUCCAGGCAUUUCCCGGUGAAUGAGUACAAUUUUCCUUGGGGAAUUCCCCGGCCAAAUGAGUACAAUUGAUCCAAACGCAUAAAUCAAAACCAUUCAACAAACAUUUUUUGAUCAUUCAACAAUCACAAGUCCUAAUUUUUGCCUACCCAACCUAGAAUUGCCUAUUUAUUCUCGACCUAAAAUAUAAUAUUAUCGAGUUCGAUAUGAUGAACAAUUAUUCCGAAUCAAACAUCCAUUAAUGAAUCCAAGUAAACCAAUGUUUGCCUUUUAUCAAACUUUCAAAUCCCGCUCCGAAUCUCAAUUUUUUUUCGAUCAAAUAACCAAUUUCAAUAUAGAAACAACCAAUCAAAGCCACGACAAUCAUGGAUAUUCAAACAAACUAUCAAAAUUAUAUCAUUAAUUAUCACGAACCAUGCAAAUCACAAAAUCAAUAUAUCAAAUUAAGUAAAAUAAAAAGGAGUUGAAAAUUUGGACCUUAGAAGAAGCUUUCAAAAUUGAUGUAUUAUUUCGAUUAAACUCGGGUUCUACACAUCCAAAACCUCCGAUUCAAACCUCAACAACAGACGAACUCCAACUCGGGAUCACCAAAAUUCAUUUUGCCGGAGCUUCAAAAGAUUACAAUGAUCGUAAAAUAACACUUCCUGGUGAUAAAUUCGCCAAGACGAUCGAACGGAGGGUGUGAGUUGUCAUUACUGACCAUAGAAUUUUGGUAGGUUUGGACAGAGGUGGGUAAGGUUUUGGUCAAGAGCUCAAUCCCCGGUGAAUAUGGCGAUUUCGGAGAGAAUUUCACCUAGAAAACCGUCCCUCUAAUUUCCUUUCAACUCAGUUUUUAUUUCUCAUCUCUCUUCUGUCCUCUUAUUCUCAAUCUCUCCCUCUCAAAUACUCUCUUUUUCACUGUUUCCCUCUCUCAAUUUCUUUCCCAGUUUCUCUCUCUCUCUCCCUCAAUCCAUUUUCUCUACCUUAUGGGUCCGAGUAUGUUGCUACCUGUGUGAGCUCCUCCCCUUGAAAAUGGAAAACCCCAAUAUUCUGUGUAAUAGCGUGAGGUAUAUAUGGUUGUUUGUGUAUGGCAGUGACCAGAUCCCCGAGUUUGAGCAAAUGGUGUGGUCGUGUAUUUUAAAGAAGAAAAAUGGUGUUUUUCGGGGGGUCUUCCCUGGAAAAAGGAAGAAGAUGAUACUCCUUUUGUUCUUUUCUCCCAAUGAUGAUGAUCAAUGAUGGAAUCGUGAAUUGGAACCCUCUUUAUUUUUUUUUGUCUGUAUAUAUUGUUCUCAUUUUCCUUUGUGAAGAAGAAAUGUGAGGGGGUCACGUGGAUGGGGUAGUGGGGUAGGGUAUAGGGUAUAGGGUGAGUUGAUUAGGAUAAGAUUUGUUAGGAUAAGGUUAGGGAUUUAAUUUGUUAGAGAUUUUAUUAAGGGUUGUUAUUUUUGUAUUUUUGUGGGAUAUAAUUAUACGGAUGAGGACAUGUAGUAAUACAGAGAUAAAAUGGUAAAAAUGUUAUCGGGGAGGGACAAAAUUAGGUGUCUACAUCAUGCCCCCUUUGAAUGUAAACACGAAGUGUUUUCAGACAAAGAAGUACACAAGAGACAGAAUUUUAUCCCGACCAUUAUUCAAAAAUGAAACAGAAGGAAGGAGGGAGACCAAGUCUUGAUUUAGGACAUCCUACCUACCCACGUUAUGAGGGAAUCAAGUCAUGGGUAUCUUAAAGGAUUGGAAAGAGAAGGACUAUACCGAGUUGGAGAGUCGAGUGAGGUUCUAUCGAGAUUCCGGUCUGCGGCUCUGUCAUUACAUCAAAAAAUGAAAAUUACAAGUUAAAAAAAUAAAUAAAAUUAAAAAAAACUCUAUCUAUGCAGAUUUCCAUGACUCUUGACUUGCUACUUCAUCACCCUAUUCUUCAGGCGGGCUCCUGACUUGCAAUUUCUUUACCUUGUUCUUCAGGCGGGCUCCUGACUUGCAAUUUUAUCUCUCUAUUUUUUGGGUGAGCUCCGGACUUACAAUUUCAUCACUUGUUGCUUGGUUUUCAAUUUCUUCACCCUAUUUUUCAGGCGGGUUUCUGACUUGCUAUUUUUUUAUUUGUUGACUUUUAAUUUCUUCACCUUGUGAUGUGUGAGCAGAUGCUAACACAUUUGAGGCUUUUAACUCUAAAUAAUUACGAAGUCUUAAGUAACUUUUGGUUAUUUUUGAUUGUUUUCUUGUGAUAUUAUUGUUGUAGCAAAGAUGAGAGGAAAACAUAGGAAAGAUGAACAAAAUAAGUAAAAUCUAGUACAAGUGAGCUGAUAUGAGUCUGACGGUAUUUUUUGCAAGCCGUCAGAGAUGUGGUAAGCUACCAGAAAAAGGUGUUAGGAAGAACAGUGAAUAAGAGUUGCUGGAUAAAGGUGACAACAUUCUCAAUAUGUCAUCACAAGUGUGGAAAACCGUCAGAAUAUGACGUCAAGUGGGUCAGAACAUGAUGAAAUAAGAUGAAGGUAUGACGACAUUUGCUACACGCUGUCACUCCUCUGGUAAGCCGUCGGAGGACAUCCUCAGAGUGAGGCAGAACAGGUUAAGAAGGCAUGACUUCUGAAGACAUAUCUGAGACGUCGUCAGAAGCCUGACGAUUAACACCAAUAUGCCGUCACCUAAAUCCGAGCCCAACUGUGAUUUUGUUAUUUUAUUACCUUAAUUAGGCUUUAGUAUAAAUAGCUUCUUUUAGGGUUUCAUUCAAAAACUUCGGAAGCAGCUUUUGACAUCUUGUAACUUAGUAAAGGGGAGUUCACUUGUUUUUAACUUUCUUAACUUAGAAUUCAAUUUCCCAUCCUUUGAUUUAGUUGUGGGAAAUUCUUAUUGUACUUGAAGGAGAAACAACUUUGAAUUUCAUCUUUUGUAAGUUCACUUGCUUUAACUUAUGAAUUUAAUCUUUGUUAUCUCUUUCUAUCUUAUGAGCAACUAAAACCCACAACUAGGGUUGUGGGAUCUAUGAUUAUUAUUUCAUUGAUUUAAUAGUUGGAUUAGGGUUUGAGUGAUUGUUCGAACGUCUUGAAAUUCUGUUGUUUUAACUUGAAUCUAUUGGUUGCAAACAUUAGGUUAUGCCUUAGGUUUUAUUUGCUUCUACUGAAGAAAUAGACUAGAGGUCGUGAAUUAUCAAUAGGGACUCAGAAGCUACCAACCUUCUGUUUAAUGAUUGAUGCCGUAACUGGAUCAAUCUACUUGAGAUAACAUCCGGUUGAAAAUAGAUAUGUUAUCUAAGUUCGAGAGAAUUAGAUAAUAAAUUAUCUGGUGAGGUCGAGAGAUAAGUCAGAUAGUAUCAUCGACAGGGAUAAUCUGCUAUUCCUACCUAUCACGAGAAUCAUGAACAGUUAUUAUUCAAUGGAGAUUAAUAGUCAUAGUGAUCAUAACCCUAGUUUCUCUAUAUCAUUGAUUCGAAAUAUUGAAAUCUAAGUUUUGAGUUCUAAAAUAAAUUGAAAUGUUAAAAUUUGUUUGAUUGAUAAAAAUCCCUAUUUUAUCUUUUCUUAUUAUUUAUUUGAAUUUAACUUGUAGCUAUAGUUUCGAACUAGUUUAAUCGCCACUCACAUUGUUCCUUGUGGAUUAGACCCCGACUCCGAAGUUAGAUAAAUAUAUUGACAACGACCGCCUUGCACUUAUUUGAGGUGUAAGUUGAGCGUUAUCACCUUGUUGGUUGACUUUCAACUUUUUCACCAUGUUGCUUGACUUUUCAUUUAUUCACCCUGUUCUUCAGGCGGGCUCCUGAAAUCACAUCAAAACUAAAAAGAAAAAUUAUCUCAAACAAAGAUUAUUAUAAAGAGAUUUCAUUUGCCAGGAAAGCGAAGUUCCAAACACAAGAUUUAAAUUUUCCCUAGUUUCUCAUCAAAGGACUUUUGGGAAAAUCACAACAUUAUAGGAAUCAAACGGAAUGACUCGUCUAAAAGGUACAUCUUAUAGGAAUCAAAGGGAAUGACUCGGCUAAAAGGUACGUCUUAUAGGAAUCAAGGAAAAUGACUCGACUAAAAGGUAUGUCUUCUAGGGGUCAAGGGGGAUGACUCGACUAAAAGAUACGUCUUAUAGGAAUCAAGGGGGAUGACUCGACUAAAAGGUACAUCUUAUAGGAAUCAAGGGUAUGACAAUUUUUUUUAUUCGGAUAACUGACUCAAGAAAGAUAAAACAAAAAUAAAAAAAGAAAGAAAAGACAAUGAAUGUCCCAAUUUGAAACAAAGAAACGAAAAAAUCAUCUAAAAAUGACAGUCAACUCUAAUGAUUAUGCCAUGCAUUUUUUAUUAAGCAGCUUGAUCUUUUCAUCCAAACUUUCUACCAAUUGUUGUUGAGUUAAUGUCCUUGAAACUGAGUUGCUUCCUUAGGUCAAAUUCAUUCGGAAACCUCAUUCGGUUAGUGGCGCCUUGAAGGGUUUUCGCCAACAAACCUGUUUCUUUCUCUAAGCUCACCAUUGCCUUAUGGUGCUCGUGAGGGUUUUCACCAAUAAGACUCUCAUUUUAAUUUCUCUCCUGAUUUCUUAUGCCGAGGAAGACAAGUAGUACCAAAAAUGCAUCAUCAUAUCCAUUGCAUACUUAGCCUUAGUAUUCUCAAAGAUUAAUCUGAAGGUUUUUCUUUGGUUGUAACUUAACUUUUGGAUAAGGUUAGAAAGAAGGGAUGAUAUGAGGCCCAAACGACACUUGAAGUGGUGUAGGACUUACAACUUUUGGAAUCGACUCAAAAAAUGAGGAUUAACUCAUACCCCAGUUUUUGACUGGGAAAUUCUAAAUUUUAUUUAGUUGGACCAAGCCCUGAGUAGGGCAACCUACGUAUCUCACCCUCGAGAGAGGAGAAUCAGGUCAUGCGCAGUUCUGGCAGCUUAUUUUUUUUGCUUGAUUCUGACUUCUUCUUUUUCUUUUCUUUUUUUUCUUUUGACCCUUUUCUUCUUUGUGAUUAUUCUGACUCUAAUUUUCUUGACACUCUUUUCUUUCUUUUUGGAUACAUUUUUUUUUGACUCUAUUCUUUUGCUUGACAUUUUUAUUUUAAGCUUUGUUGACUCUAUCUUGAUUCUAAAAGAUGUGUAUGAAAGAAAAUAAAACUAAGGCUCAAAUAGGGUAAAUAAAGGAUGACACAAUGUUUGGAUAGCGGAAUGAAAUGCCUUUGUCAUAUCAAUCUUUGAAAAUACAAGUACAUAACAUGCCAUUUGAAAGUCGGAGAUGAAGAUCAUGUGCGACAUUUUUUUACAGCAUUAACUUUGACUAAGUCUGUGCGUCACUACCUCUUCUACGCUUUUCUAGCAUACAAUUCCACUUUUGUUGUACAUUCCUUACAUUGAAUGACUCAUGAUUUCGUGUAGCUGAUUUUCUUUCUGUCCCUGGUGAUAUAGGAUCACGCAGACACUGUUUGACCUAAUCAAGACAUGUCUUUCAAUUGAUGACCAAGUUAUUCUUGUGAUUCUCAAAAUAAUUUCCUUAAUUUUUAGAAAAGGCUUCAACUUGUCACCAAUUGUCUCAGCACUCUACUAUUUUCUCAUAUGUUUCUUCUAACUUUAGCCCUCUGAUUCAAUGUUUCAUGCUUAAAUUGGACUUUAAGAUCUGGCUGAAAAUUCCGCAAGCAUGUCAUAUCACUAGAGUCAACAUAAAAUAUACUGUAUAAAGAAAACAAACAAACAACACAUAUUUAAAACACAAAGGAAAAGGGACAAUUCAUUUAGUUGAAAUAGAAGAUAGAAGGUUUGAACCUAAAUGACAAAAGGACAAAACAAGAUAGAUCCCGAACUACAACCCUGAAAUAAUUUGAAAAACAAAAAAGAAAACAAAAUAAACUCCAGACCUGUUCCUAGUAGGGAGAGGGGUGACUUCUCAAUUGCUCAGCCUGACAACUUAGCCACUGGUUUACAUAUCAACAUGACUAGAGCUUCCCUCACUGGCAAUGUUCUGCACCAUAGUUGAUCCAUCUUAAAUCAUCUUUUUAAUUUCUUUUUUUAAAUCUUGACAAUCUUUAAUACUAUGACCCAGAGCAUCAGAAUGAUACGCACAUUGUGCAUUAGGAUCAAAAUUUCUUGAACGUCGAUUAAUAUUGCACCCAAGGAGAGGAGUGAUCAUGUCUCAUUGUACCAAUCUCUGAAAUAAACUGACAUACGAAUCUCCAAUUGGUGUGAAGCUAUCUCUCAACUUCUGCCUCAUUUCAUCGUUUGGCUUGGAAAAAAAAUCCGGCUUAGGAGGGUUUUGGUAUGUUUAUGGAGUUAGAGGACGACUCUAAGGAGUUGGUGUGUUCCACAAUGGGUAAGAUGGGGGUUGAACAUAUGGCUGUGCAUUAUAUACUGGAUAUGGAGGUGAAGGAGUAGAGUAUAAUGGAUUUUGGGAGUGAUUAUGUGGAGCUUGGGCAACAACUUAGGUUUGAGCCUGAGAGUGACGACAACGGGGUCUUCUUGACCAUGCCCGCUGUCCAACUACAAUAGAAUAUGCAAAUUCCUCAUUCUUUGUCUCCCCAAUACUUUCUGAACCCUUUUGAAUUACGUGAGUUGUCGCUUUCAAUGUUGCAAAACUCACAACCAGUCUUAAUUACCUCUUCUAUCAUCUCCCCCAUUUUAAGGACCUCAAUAAAUGACUUUCCCAAUGUAGGUAACAAGUGUUGAUAAUAUGUUUCAUCCUAGGCUUAAAUAAACACCUCCACUAUUUUGCUUUCUUUCAUUGGUGGUUUCACUCUAGCAGCUUGUUCGGGCCAUCUGAUCGCAUACUUACUGAAGCUCUCAGUAUUCUUCUUCUUCAAACUAGUUAGGGAUUUUUCGUUAGGGAUCAACUCCACAUUGUAUUGAAAUUAUUGCACAAAUUCAUUAGCUAGGUCAUCCCAACUAACCCACUUGUCGAUGUCUUGGUCAACAAACCAUUCCAAAGCAGACUCUCCCCUAAAUAAGCCAUGAGUAGUUCUUCCUUCCCUCCAGCGCCUCUUAAUUGGUUACAAUAGUGCCUCAAAUGUGCCACUAGGUCCCUAUGUCUGUCAUACUUUUCAAACUUUGGCAUUUUAAAGCCAGGAUGAAGGUUGACACAUGGAAACAUGCGUAAGUACUUAUAUGAGACACUUUUGUAACCCCCAAAUCCUUGAAAGUUCUUCAUAGCCAGUUCCAAACUUCUCAAUUUUCUGGUCAUUUCCUCUUAUUCUUCCGUCAUAAUAGGCUUCUCAGUGUUAGGAGAAAAUUGAGGCGGGUGAGUGUCAUUGUAAAGACCAGUCAACUUAAAUAUAGGCUCGAAAGUGUAAUGCUGAUCACCAGUUCAAUGCAGGCUCUCUUGUAGAGUAGGGAGGCACAAUUUGUGGAUGAACAUCAAAAGUAGGAGCUUCAGGUGGGGGUUGCACCGCAAAAACAUGAACAGCAGGCGGAGCCGAGUAAGUGGUAGUCUUGGAUUGGGGAGUAAAGAAAUGAACAUUGAAAGUGUUUGAGUAUUCUUGAGCCGGAGUAGAUUUUGAUGCAUGUUGUAGCGUGUCAACAACAAUAGGAAAUUGUGCAUGUGACACUGGAGGCAAGCUAAAAAAAUGUUCCAGAUUAUCAGUGGGAAAUGAAGGAGGCAGCAACCUAUUAGCCCAAGCUCGAUGCAUUUCUAUCAUUUGCCGCCUUAAUUUCUGAAUCUCUCCAUUAGCUUCUAAAUUUUCAUUCCCCAAACUCCCUUUCUGAUUAGUGACCCCAACCUCGGUAUUCUUGUUGGCCAUAACUUUCUAUGUGACUUGGAGUAAUAUGGAGGUUCAGACAAAAUGUCACAAACCAACCACCUUAAACUAAUUGGACAAGAGAUAGCAAAUGCGUUAGAGUUCAACACUUUUUCAAAACCUCUUUUUUUCCUUGAAAAGAUCACCGAACCCUAAAAGGGCGCCUACGUAUCUCACUCCCGAAAGAGGAGAAUCAGGUGUUCGUAGUUUGUGAAGUCUUGCCAAAAUAGCCAAUUAAACUCUUUUUCUUUUUCUUGAAAUUUUAAGAAGAAAAGAAAAAUGACAAAUUGUCAAAAGAAUAGAUGAAAAUCUUUUUGAAUUUUUCGGCUUUAAUAACCUAUACAAAAUGAAACCUAUGAUUACCAAAGAAACUCUUUUUGGGUUUUCAAUUUUGCAUUUCAUACGAAAAUGAAACUUGAACCUAUUUAUGGUAAAUCUUUUGUAGUUUUCUUUUAAAGAUGUAUAUGAAACACCUACUCUAAAUGAAGAGUUAAGAAAAUCUUUUUGGUUUUUGAAUAAGAUCCCCAAACCAACAAUAGGCUGCUUACGUAUCUCACAUCCCAAAAGAGGAGAAUCAGGGGUGCGUAGUUCGUCCAGAUUAGACAAUUAAGGAUUAGAUAAAAAACUAAAACUUAACUUGAGCGACACGAUUACAGACAGAUGAUGAAAGUAAAAUAUUUUUGGGUUUUAAAUUUGACACUUCAUACAAAAAUGACACCAAAGAAAAAUCUUUUUGAUAUUUUCGAUAUGAAAUAUACAAAACUUCUACCAUUUUUUUGAAUUUUCCUUUUAUAAAAAGCUCCUAUUUGAAAAAAAAUCUUUUUGAAAAUUUUGAAUUAUGAAUGCAUGGUAAAGGAACAAAAGAAAAAUCUUUUUGAUGUUUUUAAGAAAAUGAGUGCGAAAGGUAAAAAGUCUUUUUGACUUUUUGGAUUGUGAAGAAAAAAAUCAAAAGCCAUAAAGAACUCUAAAAACUUACGAAACUCUCUCUUUUUUUUCUUUUCGACUCACUUUUCUUUUUCUCUCUUUUUUCAACACUUUCUUGUCUACACACCUUACUUCUAACACAUGUUUUCCCCAAAUCGGUCCGUCAAAUGACCACAUUAUCCUUAGAUACAACAUUUAGCACUAGAGAUGCUUUAGAGGUGAGUCUUCUACAAAGGGUCACGUGGGUCCCACUAGGUCUCAAUAUGAUGCAUAUAAGCAUGACCUAAAGGUUGACCUACGUUGGGGUCCACUAACAAGGCUGUUUGGGGGUGCAUAUGGUCGAUAGUGGCUGCGAGAGCUUUCCACCCACUCCAUAACACCGACGGAUCCCCCUCCUAAAAUAAGGGUGACUCAAAUAGAGGUCGUGUACAACACGUGUACUAUGAACUUGUUGUAGAAAGAAUGACUCGGGUUAUGCACAUGCUGCCAAAUAUAAAGCGGUAGCACAUAAGAAGAAAUACUAUAAACAUGUAGCACGUAGACAUUCAACAAUGUUAAAACAGAUACGAACAAUAACACAAACAAUGUCUAUACACCCAUAAUGUCAAACUAAAACCGAUACAACUCCAGAAAAUAAGCUCGAAUUUUGAAAAAUUCCCAUCAGAGUUGCCAGAGCUGUCACACCCCCUUUUCAACCGAAAAAAUUUAUUUGAAGUUUUGAAAGAGUUUUUAUUAUUAAGUGACAGAAGAAAGCAUGUUUGUUCUGAAAAGGACUUUUAUCAAUUAAAACUCAGAGUCACAGGUUGGCAAGAUCGGGUGUGCCAAGUCACCUUUGAAAAUCCUUUUAAAAAAUGUUUGACUCUUUAAAAUUGGUUUGCGAACAGAGAUUUCAGUUAAGGAAUUUUGUUGAUCGAGGGAAAGGUGUUAGGCAUCCCUCAAUACCGUGGUUCAAUCACGUUCGCUCGAUGGAGCAUAUCGGCUAAUUUAACACUACGAAUGUAUAAACCACAUAAAACAAGCAACAAACAAAUCAAACAAAGUUCAAAACCGAAAUAAUAUCCAGUUCGAUUAUUACAGACCCAAAAUAAAAGGUACUGAAAUAUAAACCUACGCUAACCUACACUAAUCCUAAACUACACUCCACCCGAUGCUUCAGGCCUUGAUCAUGAGCCUCCUUUACGUAUAUGAUACUUCGAGGCAUUCUCCGAUGAAUGAGUACAAUUUUUAUUGGGGAAUUCUCUGGCCAAAUGAGUACAAUUGAUCCAAACUCAUCAAUCAAAACCAUUCAACAAAUAUUUUUUCAUCAUUCAGCAAUCACAAGUCCUAAUUUUUUCCUACCCAACCUAGAAUUGCCUAUUCAUUCUCAACCUAAAACAUAAUAUUAUCGAGUUCGAUAUGAUGAAAAAUUAUUCCGAAUCAAACAUCCAUUAAUGAAUCCAAGUAAACCAAUGUUCACCUUCUAUCAAACUUUCAAAUCCCGCCCCGAAUCUUAAUUUUUUUCGAUCAAAUAACCAAUUUCAAAAUAGAAACAACCAAUCAAAGCCACGACAAUCAUGGAUAUUCAAACUUAAUAUCAAAAUUAUAUCAUCAAUCAUCACGAACCAUGCAAAUCACAACAUCAACAUAUCAAAUUAAGUAAAAUAAAAAGGAGUUGAAAAUUUGGACCUUAGGAGAAGCUUUCAAAAUCGAUGUAUUAUUCCGAUUAAACUCGGGUUCUCUGCAUCCAAAACCUCCAAUUCGAACCUCAACAGUAGACGAACUCCAACUCGGGAUCACCAAAAUUCAUUUUGCCGAAGCUUCGAAAGAUUACAAUGAUCGUAAAAUAACACUUCCUGGUGAUAAAUUCGCCAAGACGAUCGAACGGAGGGUACGAGUUGCCAUUACUAACCACGGAAUUUUGGUGGGUUUGAACAGAGGUGGAUCAGGUUUUGGUCAAGAUCUCAAUCCCUGGUGAAUAUGGCGAUUUUGACGAUAAUUUUGCUAGAAAACCGUCCCUCUAAUUCCGUUCAACUCGGUUUUUCUUUCUCAUCUCUCUUCCAUCCUCUUAUUCUCGAUCUCUCCCUCUCAAAUCCCCUCUCUCUUUCACUAUUUCCCUCUCUCGAUUUCUCUCUCUCUCUCCCUCAAUCCAUCUUCUCUACCUUAUGCAUCCGAGUAUGUUGCUACCUGUGUGAGCUCCUCCCUUUGGAAAUGGAAAACCCCGAUAUUCUGUGUAAUGGCGUGAAGUGUAUAUGGUUGUUUGUGUAUGACAGUGACCAGAUCCCCGAGUGUGUGCAAAUGGUUUUGUCGUAAGAAGAAAAAUGGUGUUUUUUGGGGGGUGUUCCCUGGAAAAAGGAAGAAGAUGAUGCUCCUUUUGUUCUUUCUCCCAAUGAUGAUGAUCUCUGAUGGAAUCGUGAAUGGGAACCCCCUUUAUUUUUUUGUUGUCUAUAUAUAUAUUGUUCUCAUUUUCCUUUGUGAAGAAGAAAUCUGAGGGGUCACGUGGAUGGGGUAGUGGGGGUAGGGUAUAGGGUAGGUGGGGUAAGGUGAGUUGGUUAGGAUAAGAUUUGUUAGGAUAAGGUUAGGGAUUUAAUUUGUUAGAGAUUUUAUUAAAGAUUGUUAUUUUUGUACUUUUGUGGGAUAUAAUUAUACGGAUGAGGACACGUAGUAAUACGGAGGUAAAAUGAUAAAAAUGCUAUUGGGGAGGGACAAAAUUAGGUGUCUACAAUAUUGUUUGUCCAACACCAUGGUGGUAUUAUACAACGGUAGAAAAUCCCAAUCCAGGCCUCAGGAAAAAAAAAGAAUUCAGUAAUUAGAUUUUUUAAGAUACAGAGCAAUGUAAAUAUUUGUCAGAAUGAAAGCAACAGAUUUUUUAAUGACAGUGGUUUCUGGCCAACUUGUCCACCUCAACUAUUCCAUCGGGUACCUGCUACCUCCCACCAACACAGAUACUGGGUGACGUUUUUCACCAAAGCUUAGACAGAUUGGAAGAAAUGAACUAGUACUUUUGCCUCAGGUGGAAUUUGAACCCGAGACAUCAUGGUUCUCCUAAACAAAGGGGCAUUCUGAUGCACAAAGUAUCCUGCAUUCACGCAGAGUUCGGGGAAGGGCUGCAUCUCAAGGGGCUGUGAUGACCCCUCAUUUAAAUAAUGUGUUAAAAAUUACACUAGUGAUGCUGCCUCAAUUAUGAGUAUGAUUGUUGACCCUUGAUUCAAGUAAUGUGAAUAAAGAUUAAAUUUCUUGUGACAAGCUGCCUCGAUAUGGUGCACUGAUUGACACAGUUGGCCUUUUUUCAAUAUUUUUCUUUUAAAGGAAAGGACUAACUGGCAUAAGGUUUUGGCAUCCUCAAUAGUAAAACUAGUAUUCCUAGUGUCUUCAAUUUUAUGUUAUUCAGUAAUAUUAAGGGAUGGUUCUGAAUGAAUAACAGGAUGCGCAUUACAAAAACAUCUAACCGCUUUCAGAUUUGGCAUAAACUUCAAGUAUCAUAAACUUCAAAACAGCUAGAGCUUAUCCUCUAAUAAAUACAACUAAAAGUUAUGAUUCUUAAGACUAAACUACAUCCAGAAUCUUGAAAUGACAGAUUUCAGGCAAGUAAUGAACUUUUUAGUUGUACGAAAAAAUGAAAGUUCUAGUUAACGUUAACAUGUUAGCUUUGUUACUUUAUUUUUGUGUCGUUCCAAGUAUAUAUUAACCGUGGACCAGCAACUAAUUAGCUAGCAUUUGUUCCAUUCAUUUUUCAAGAAAGUCUCAUAUUGUAUAUAGUUCUCCGUCUUUAUUUUAGCGGUUCCUAUAAACUUAUGUACAUGCCUCCCCCCCCCUCUCUCUCUUACACACACACAUAUAGAAAUUUAAAAGAUUCCCUUCAAGUCACCACUUCUUCAUAAGUAUAAUUUUUCUUUCAAACAAAGAGUACAUCAUUAUUAAAUGUCAGAAAUUUAUCAAACCAGACAAGAUGAUCACCAACCUUAAAAGACAUGUGGAAGGUCAUCGGUGUCCACUCAUUCAUUAGAACUGAGAGCAUCUUUCGUACUUGGGCGAGUCGCAUAUCCAGGGGACUAGAUGGUGACUGAAUUUUAUGUAAAUUCAGUGAAGAAGAGGUAACAUGAAACAAAUAACAACAUAUCUGUAACACCCCGUAUUCAAGUACGUGUAUUGGCGUAUUCAAGUACGUGUAUUGGUCUUAUUUAUAUGGAAUUAAUUUUUUAUUUUAUUUUAUUUUAUUUAUACCGGAAUUUACCCGUCGAUGGUUCCAUGCAAAGGUUAUUGAAUAAGCUUUCCAACGAUAUAAAGAUUUCCAAAAACGGAUAGGUUUCAGAUAUAAUCGACCACGUUCGAAACUAUAAAACGGUGGUCGGGAUAUUUGGGAAUAGUAAAUGUGCAGGAAAAUUUCCUGCACACAAACUACUGAGGCCAGCUGAAUUUUUGGGUCAACUUCGAAUGAUCAUAACUCCCUUAAUAUAAUGAACUGCGAGGUUUGAGACCUAUGAAAAGAAAGAUCUUUGAGUCCUCUUUCCAAUGCAAUUGGUUUCAUCCAAAUACAACCUCUGAAUAAGGAGUUAUACUCGUUUUACUUCAGCCUAUUAAAACAGAUUUUUAGGGUCAACUUCAAACGACCAUAACUCCUUGUACAGGACGAACUAGGUGGCCUACUUUAUAUGAGAUAAAAAUCCUUUUAAUUAUCCUUCCAAAGAUACCAAUUUUACCCAAAUCCGAUAUCGGAGCAAAGAGUUAUGGUCGAUCUACUUUAGCUUAUCAAAACAGUCCACCAAAGGACAGAUUUGGCAUUAUUUAAAUUUUAAAGGCAUUUUGGUCAUUUCCUAUUAUAUUAUGAAUGGGAAUAUGUGUANNNNNNNNNNNNNNNNNNNNNNNNNNNNNNNNNNNNNNNNNNNNNNNNNNNNNNNNNNNNNNNNNNNNNNNNNNNNNNNNNNNNNNNNNNNNNNNNNNNNNNNNNNNNNNNNNNNNNNNNNNNNNNNNNNNNNNNNNNNNNNNNNNNNNNNNNNNNNNNNNNNNNNNNNNNNNNNNNNNNNNNNNNNNNNNNNNNNNNNNNNNNNNNNNNNNNNNNNNNNNNNNNNNNNNNNNNNNNNNNNNNNNNNNNNNNNNNNNNNNNNNNNNNNNNNNNNNNNNNNNNNNNNNNNNNNNNNNNNNNNNNNNNNNNNNNNNNNNNNNNNNNNNNNNNNNNNNNNNNNNNNNNNNNNNNNNNNNNNNNNNNNNNNNNNNNNNNNNNNNNNNNNNNNNNNNNNNNNNNNNNNNNNNNNNNNNNNNNNNNNNNNNNNNNNNNNNNNNNNNNNNNNNNNNNNNNNNNNNNNNNNNNNNNNNNNNNNNNNNNNNNNNNNNNNNNNNNNNNNNNNNNNNNNNNNNNNNNNNNNNNNNNNNNNNNNNNNNNNNNNNNNNNNNNNNNNNNNNNNNNNNNNNNNNNNNNNNNNNNNNNNNNNNNNNNNNNNNNNNNNNNNNNNNNNNNNNNNNNNNNNNNNNNNNNNNNNNNNNNNNNNNNNNNNNNNNNNNNNNNNNNNNNNNNNNNNNNNNNNNNNNNNNNNNNNNNNNNNNNNNNNNNNNNNNNNNNNNNNNNNNNNNNNNNNNNNNNNNNNNNNNNNNNNNNNNNNNNNNNNNNNNNNNNNNNNNNNNNNNNNNNNNNNNNNNNNNNNNNNNNNNNNNNNNNNNNNNNNNNNNNNNNNNNNNNNNNNNNNNNNNNNNNNNNNNNNNNNNNNNNNNNNNNNNNNNNNNNNNNNNNNNNNNNNNNNNNNNNNNNNNNNNNNNNNNNNNNNNNNNNNNNNNNNNNNNNNNNNNNNNNNNNNNNNNNNNNNNNNNNNNNNNNNNNNNNNNNNNNNNNNNNNNNNNNNNNNNNNNNNNNNNNNNNNNNNNNNNNNNNNNNNNNNNNNNNNNNNNNNNNNNNNNNNNNNNNNNNNNNNNNNNNNNNNNNNNNNNNNNNNNNNNNNNNNNNNNNNNNNNNNNNNNNNNNNNNNNNNNNNNNNNNNNNNNNNNNNNNNNNNNNNNNNNNNNNNNNNNNNNNNNNNNNNNNNNNNNNNNNNNNNNNNNNNNNNNNNNNNNNNNNNNNNNNNNNNNNNNNNNNNNNNNNNNNNNNNNNNNNNNNNNNNNNNNNNNNNNNNNNNNNNNNNNNNNNNNNNNNNNNNNNNNNNNNNNNNNNNNNNNNNNNNNNNNNNNNNNNNNNNNNNNNNNNNNNNNNNNNNNNNNNNNNNNNNNNNNNNNNNNNNNNNNNNNNNNNNNNNNNNNNNNNNNNNNNNNNNNNNNNNNNNNNNNNNNNNNNNNNCCACUCCUAUUACGAUUUAUUCACUUGUUUCUGAUUUCUAUUGAGCUCCUAUAUCAUAUGUGAUUAUCUAUAACUUUACUUACUCAGUACAUAUUUCGUACUGACGUCCCCCAUGGGGGACCUGUAUUUUAUGAUGCAGUCACAGGUACCUCAGCUCAUACACCGCAUAAGUAGGAGCCAGGAUAUCCAGCUGCUUUUGGUGAGCUCCAGUAUGCUUCGGGGCUUUCCGUGUCAUAUCCAGUCACUUUUGAUAUUUUAUAGAAGUUAGUUAUAUGGCGGGGUGUGUCCUAACCUUAGUUAAACUUUGUGUAUUGUCUAGAGGCUUUGUAGACCUAAUGUACAGUCAAGGUGGUGUUUUGUUAAUAGACGUGAUGGCUCCAACGACCAAGUAUUAUAUAUACAUAUAUAUAUGUGUUUGAUCUUAUACCGGUGAUUAUUUCCUUUUAUAUGCGACAUGAUGAUGUUUGAAUUUCGGGUUGUCAUAGUGGUAUGCAUGGGAAGUAUAUGUGCUCGAGCUUAUACAAGUAAUUAUUUCCUUUUAUAUGCGACAUGAUGCUGUCCGAAUUUGGGGUUGUCAUAGAGGUAUGCAUGGGAAGUAUAAGGUUAUAAGCUGGUUCUCCCGGGCCUCCUCGGUUACGGGUGCCAGUCCGCCCCAAUAGGAUUUGAGGCGUGACAAUAUCGAUCUAAAGGAACACACACACGAUAAGGAAACACAUAGGAUACAAUUUUCUCUUUUAUAAUUUGAUGAGAUGACAUGUUCUAUAACUACCAUUUGCAACAUAAUGAGGGCAAAUGGAGAAAGGAAAGAAGGACAAGUAUAGACCACAAAACAAUUUAAAUUAGAAAAAGAAAAGAGAGAUAAAUUCAAGAACAUAAAUGAUUACCAUGCUUUUCCAUAGAACAUAAAAAUAAGAAAAUGCAGCUACAAGGAAAAAAAGCACUCGGUCUGAAGUUUCUCAAAGGCACAAAAAUUAGCUGAAGAAUCUACCAGCGACAAAAUUAACAUCAAUCAAAGUGCUAUUAGGCUCUACAAAAUGUACUAAAGAUGAUCGUAUGAAGAUUUUUUUAAAGUUAAAGUUUCUAUAAUUGAACACUGUAGGAAAAUAGAUAUCACUGAUUAAAACAAAAGGUUACAUGCAAAACUUGAGAUCUUGAAAAAAAAUGCACCAACUUGAACGCCUCUUAUUCCAAUGGUCCAAACACAAAGUGGGGGUAUUUGAUUUAAUCGGAUAUGAAAAGAGUACAAAUACAAAAAUUAAAAAGGAUCUACCAGAGAGAAUUAAAAAGGAAGGAACUCACACAUACUUACCGGUGAUAGAUUGUAGAUGCUAGUCAAAUUGGAGUUGUUUCAUUGCCAUUGAAGAAAACUCCAGAACCUUAAGUGGAAAUAAUAGUUGGAGAAAAAAAAUAAGAAAUCAGUGUGGUCGUGUGAUCGAUGGAACUGCGGGAGAGUGGAAUAGAAGGAAGGAAGAAGUCUGCGGAAGAGUGGGAAGUCGAUCGGAGCUCCGAUGAUCGAUGGCUCCGUCAAGACCUUUCCCUUUCUAGACCAUUCUUGCUAAUAGUCAGCUUUCCAUUUCUCUAGUUUUUUUUUUUUUUUUAAUCUUUUUUCUUUAUUUUGCUUGGAUAAUAAAUAAUUCAACUUUCCAUUUCUUUAGCUUUUUUUAACCAACAAAAAUUUUCUUGGAUAAUAAAAUGGGCUUGGAGCCCCAACGUUUAAUUAAAAAAAGAUACAUACAUUUUUGUAACUACAAAAAUUUGUUAUAGUUAGUUUAUUAUGAUUACAUUAAUGCUAUUAAUAUGAUACUACUUCAAGUGCAAGAAAAAUAAAUAUAUUUAAUAUGGAUAACAAUUUUUUUUUUGGUCUCAUAUAACUUGAUAUAUUUAUUUUUUGCGCAAUUAUUAAGAAGAAAUUUAUAAGAGUUGUAAAUUGAUUAAUACGAUUCUAUUAAAUUCACAUUAAUUAUUGUUAUUACCUAUUUGAUCAGUUAAUUACUUUCAUUAAAUUACUAAGGGUAAAGUUGAAAAAAAAAUAUCGAAGUAUCUUUUUGAUUUUUUAAAUAUGUCAAUUAUUUUGAGUAAUUAUUUUUGACAAACAUGUCAAGUAGUAUAAAACGUAGGUAGUAAUAUUGCAACAACAAAUUUUAAAUCACUGUUAAAAAUAGUAAUUAUUAGAUAUGAAAUUUUAUUACAAAAACAAUUUGUAGCUAUAUCGUUUUACCAUGACAUUAAUUAUAUCUAUUAAAAGUCAUCGUCUAUUGCCACAAAUUUUCUUACUUAAAGAAAAAUAUUUUUUAGCCACAAAUUUUGUUACAAACAUUUUAUUCAUGUGGUUAAAAGGUUACUGUUACUACAAUAAAUUUUAAUUCGUGGAAAAAAUUAAUAAUUAGCUAUGAAAUUUUAUUAUAACAAAAAAUUUGUGGCUAUUUUGUUUGACUAUUGCCACAAUUUUUACAAGUGAAGCAAAACUUUUAAUUUAGCUAUAAUAGUUUGUUUCAAAUUAUUAAUCAUGGCUAAAAGAUUACUAUUAUUAUAGAUACUUUCAUUGCGUGGCAAAAAUUUAUAGUUAGCCACAAAAUUUCAUUGUAGCUAUAUGAUUGUAGCUAUUUAGAUAAUUAUAGCCACGAUCUUUAGCAAUUAUAGCAAAAACGAAGAUUUAGCUUUAUCAAUUUAAUUUUUGUGGCUAAGAAAUUCAGUGAAUUUGUAGAUAGCUACGAAAUUUAUUUUUUGUGGUUGUAACUUGGUAAUAUAGCUUACAUUUCGUAGCUUAUGCAUUUUCUUGUAGUGUAUCCAAAUAAGAUUAAAUAUCUCCUUUGGCAAUGCUUUCAUGACAUGAUUCCUAGUAAAGCUUAUUUACAGUAUAUCGAGAUUAACAUUGAUGACACGUGCCCAAUUUGCAAACAAUACAGAAACUAUUCAACAUAUUUUUAAUGCAAUUCAAUCACUAAUCUUUGAAAAACAUAAAUUUCAAUCCCAACAGUGCCACUCCUAAAUAAUACUCCCUUCGUCCCAUUUUACUCGUCCCAAAUUGGGAUGACACAACUAUUAAGAAAAAUAAUAAAUAACAUCGCUAGUUUACCAUAUUAUCGCUAUUAAAUGAUGUUUACAGUUUAAUUUAAAGAAAAAGUAUUUAAUACAAAGGGUAAAAUAUGAAAAAAAAAUUAUCUUGUCUUGAAAAGUAAAAAAUGACAAGUAAAAUAAGACACUAGAUUAAAAAAUUUGAAAUGAAUAAAAUGAGACGGAGGGAGUAUCUUAUAAUCCUCAUCUUAUAAUCCUCCUAAGCGUCAAGGAUUGAUGACUGGAGAACCUCUUCCCCUAUAUCAUCUAGCACAUCUAAAUUAAUAGGAAUAAUAAUAAUUAAAAAAAACAUUAAUUAGCUAAGUCAAUACAACCUAAUACAUAGUAAAUUGUGCAAUAUAUUGAAUGCAAAAUGCUUUCGGAAAAUAAGCUACUACUUUGUAACAAGAAAAAGUGUCUUAAAUUGCACGGUACAAUCUAAUAUAAUUUAAAUUGACUGUUUUUUUUUUAAAAAAUCAUAUCAUUCUUAGAGUUAUAAAAGGUAGAUGAUAUCUAUCUUUUUAUGGAAAGUGUUUAUACUAUUUAUUUGCUUAUCUUAUUAUAGUUUUCAUAUUAAUACUCCUUCCCCCAUCCCCACCCAAAAAACAAAUAAUUAAGAGAAUAAGGAUAAAAUUAAACAUUUCAAAUAUGAAGGCGAGAGCAUUUUAACCCAAAAACGUAAAGAGGAAUAAAUUUGAUCAAAUUUAAAUAGUAAACAAUGUCUCGCAUACACUAUCAGAAAUUAGGUCUAUCGCAAUGAAAUUUUUAGCGAUGGUUGCAAAAGCAUUGCAAUAAAUGACCUAUUGCCGUUGCAAAAAAAAAUUAUUGGGUAAAAAUAUAUCUAUUGCAAUGGUUUUAUUAAUUUCCUUUCUAAAAUUUCAAAAGUCCGCUAUAAGCAAUUUUAAGAAAACCCUUCCACUCUCAAACCUAUUCUCUGUCAAUUAGCUCUCUCAAACAUUUCUCUCUCAAGAUUUGCUCAAUCUCUCAAAUCAUUUCUCUCUCGAUUUGUACCUCAAUUUGCAAUUAGGACUAAUUGCAUUUUGGUGGGUUAACCACAGAAAAUGCCGGUGGAGAUCGAGGAUAUUAUUCUAUAAAAAAAUUUACUUGUAGCGCUAGUUGGUUCAAUGGAAAAUGAUACACGUAUUGUGCAUUUGGAGAUGACGGCGGCGGAGAUUUUAAGCAAGGGUAAACAAUUAAGGUUGUCUAGGGAUUUGAUGGAGCAGGUUUUGAUUCGCCGACUUUUGGUAAUUAUGUAUCGGCAAAACCCCCUUUUCAGUGUUUGGUAAUUGUCUUAACGUGUCUCUUUAGUAUGUUUUAUCUUCAAACAGCUCGUUGAUUGUUUUCACAGUGAUUAUGUAUGUCUGACGAUAUGUGUGUUCAGGUAUUACUUCUCAGAGAUGAUAUGUCUGACGAUAUGUGUGGCCAGGAGGUCACAGUUUCAAGCCGUGAAAGUAGCCUGUUGUAGAAAUGCAUGGAAAGGCUGCAUACAAUAGACCCUUUGGCCCUUCCCAGACCCAAUGCGUAACAGGAUCUUUAGUGCAUUAGGCUGACCUUUGCCAUUUCAGAUUAUAUCCAUAUCACGUGGUAUGAUUUUCUGUUAUAUAAAAGGUGAGGAAUCACCUCAUGGUUGACAUUGUUUCGUUACGUCAUUCAGAUCAAAUGUGGGGAUAUUCUUUAGUGUUGAAUUUAGCUUCUUGGCUAAUGUACUGAACUGGUAACAUUAGUCUGCAAGUAAUGGGCUAAAGAAUGAGACUACCCUUUGACAUAACUUGUAGCUAGGUGUAAUGGGAUAAACAUGUCUUACUUAUCUAUUCCAGUCCUGAAUCAUUUGCUUUUUAGCCUCACUAUUGCAUUUCAAUUUUUGUUGAUCUUAGCCAUUUGUCUCCAGAAAAUAUUAUAGAAAAUGAAUGGAUAUGCAUCAUAUUGAUGAAAGAAGAAACUAUUGAUAUAAGAUUCUGUAGUAGCAUGGAUUCCUGAAUCAUUUGCUUUUUAGCCUCACUAUUGCAUUUCAAUUUUUGUUGAUCUUAGCCAUUUGUCUCCAGAAAAUAUUAUAGAAAAUGAAUGGAUAUGCAUCAUAUUGAUGAAAGAAGAAACUAUUGAUAUAAGAUUCUGUAGUAGCAUGGAUUCCUGAAUCAUUUGCUUUUUAGCCUCACUAUUGCAUUUCAAUUUUUGUUGAUCUUAGCCAUUUGUCUCCAGAAAAUAUUAUAGAAAAUGAAUGGAUAUGCAUCAUAUUGAUGAAAGAAGAAACUAUUGAUAUAAGAUUCUGUAGUAGCAUGGAUUCCUGAAUCAUUUGCUUUUUAGCCUCACUAUUGCAUUUCAAUUUUUGUUGAUCUUAGCCAUUUGUCUCCAGAAAAUAUUAUAGAAAAUGAAUGGAUAUGCAUCAUAUUGAUGAAAGAAGAAACUAUUGAUAUAAGAUUCUGUAGUAGCAUGGAUUCCUGAAUCAUUUGCUUUUUAGCCUCACUAUUGCAUUUCAAUUUUUGUUGAUCUUAGCCAUUUGUCUCCAGAAAAUAUUAUAGAAAAUGAAUGGAUAUGCAUCAUAUUGAUGAAAGAAGAAACUAUUGAUAUAAGAUUCUGUAGUAGCAUGGAUUCCUGAAUCAUUUGCUUUUUAGCCUCACUAUUGCAUUUCAAUUUUUGUUGAUCUUAGCCAUUUGUCUCCAGAAAAUAUUAUAGAAAAUGAAUGGAUAUGCAUCAUAUUGAUGAAAGAAGAAACUAUUGAUAUAAGAUUCUGUAGUAGCAUGGAUUCCUGAAUCAUUUGCUUUUUAGCCUCACUAUUGCAUUUCAAUUUUUGUUGAUCUUAGCCAUUUGUCUCCAGAAAAUAUUAUAGAAAAUGAAUGGAUAUGCAUCAUAUUGAUGAAAGAAGAAACUAUUGAUAUAAGAUUCUGUAGUAGCAUGGAUUCCUGAAUCAUUUGCUUUUUAGCCUCACUAUUGCAUUUCAAUUUUUGUUGAUCUUAGCCAUUUGUCUCCAGAAAAUAUUAUAGAAAAUGAAUGGAUAUGCAUCAUAUUGAUGAAAGAAGAAACUAUUGAUAUAAGAUUCUGUAGUAGCAUGGAUUCCUGAAUCAUUUGCUUUUUAGCCUCACUAUUGCAUUUCAAUUUUUGUUGAUCUUAGCCAUUUGUCUCCAGAAAAUAUUAUAGAAAAUGAAUGGAUAUGCAUCAUAUUGAUGAAAGAAGAAACUAUUGAUAUAAGAUUCUGUAGUAGCAUGGAUUCCUGAAUCAUUUGCUUUUUAGCCUCACUAUUGCAUUUCAAUUUUUGUUGAUCUUAGCCAUUUGUCUCCAGAAAAUAUUAUAGAAAAUGAAUGGAUAUGCAUCAUAUUGAUGAAAGAAGAAACUAUUGAUAUAAGAUUCUGUAGUAGCAUGGAUUCCUGAAUCAUUUGCUUUUUAGCCUCACUAUUGCAUUUCAAUUUUUGUUGAUCUUAGCCAUUUGUCUCCAGAAAAUAUUAUAGAAAAUGAAUGGAUAUGCAUCAUAUUGAUGAAAGAAGAAACUAUUGAUAUAAGAUUCUGUAGUAGCAUGGAUUCCUGAAUCAUUUGCUUUUUAGCCUCACUAUUGCAUUUCAAUUUUUGUUGAUCUUAGCCAUUUGUCUCCAGAAAAUAUUAUAGAAAAUGAAUGGAUAUGCAUCAUAUUGAUGAAAGAAGAAACUAUUGAUAUAAGAUUCUGUAGUAGCAUGGAUUCCUGAAUCAUUUGCUUUUUAGCCUCACUAUUGCAUUUCAAUUUUUGUUGAUCUUAGCCAUUUGUCUCCAGAAAAUAUUAUAGAAAAUGAAUGGAUAUGCAUCAUAUUGAUGAAAGAAGAAACUAUUGAUAUAAGAUUCUGUAGUAGCAUGGAUUCCUGAAUCAUUUGCUUUUUAGCCUCACUAUUGCAUUUCAAUUUUUGUUGAUCUUAGCCAUUUGUCUCCAGAAAAUAUUAUAGAAAAUGAAUGGAUAUGCAUCAUAUUGAUGAAAGAAGAAACUAUUGAUAUAAGAUUCUGUAGUAGCAUGGAUUCCUGAAUCAUUUGCUUUUUAGCCUCACUAUUGCAUUUCAAUUUUUGUUGAUCUUAGCCAUUUGUCUCCAGAAAAUAUUAUAGAAAAUGAAUGGAUAUGCAUCAUAUUGAUGAAAGAAGAAACUAUUGAUAUAAGAUUCUGUAGUAGCAUGGAUUCCUGAAUCAUUUGCUUUAGCCUCGCUAUUACAUUUCAAUUUUUAUUGAUCUUAGCCAUUUAUCUCCAGAAAAUUUUUGGUCUAAUAAGUUUAUUUAUUCUUAUGCUGUGCUUCUUUUCAGGUUCACCAUACAACUUCUCAUUUACUUCAAUCAGCACUCAAAAGAGUAAUUGGUCAGGAAACAUCUCAAGCAGGAUCAAUGGUUGCUUUUGAUCGUCUUAGAUUUGACUUCAACUUCCAUCGACCUCUUCUUGACAAGGAACUCGAAGAAAUUGAAGGUUUGAUCAACCAAUGGAUCGGUGAUGGCAUGAUUUUGGAAACAAAAGUCAUGUCUUUGACUGAUGCAAAAGGAGCUGGGGCAAUUGCAAUGUUUGGAGAAAAAUAUGGAGAACAGGUGGGGAUACUUACCAUUUUAUGUUAAUAUGUUAAGAAUGUGAUGAUUAUAGAACAAGGGAGAUUCUUCUGGCUGCUAUCUUUUUGCUAAAUUUUGCUAUUAAAGCUGAUAUAUGGAGCGACCAACAAUCCUCUUUUAUGAGUCGGUGAGAAAUAGUGAUUAGACUGUACACCAGUCCAUUCUGAGGAUUAAGUCUGAUAGUGAGAUUUUAACCAUGUAUUAAAGUUCAACUUGAAUUAUAAGAUUAUUAAUGAAUGAUUUUGUUUUGUAAUGUGUAGAUAUUGUGUUAUAAUUUAUUAUGUAUGUAAAUAAAAAUUUACAUUAAUACGAGUGACUUUAUAUAAAUCGUUUCAAUUUAAUAACAUGUGGCAAUAAUUAUUGCAAUAGAUCAAUAAACCAUUGCAAUAGGUAGUCAAAAAGCGUUGCAACAGAAUAACAAAAGCGUCGCAAUAGAUGCUAUUGCAACGAUUUAAUGUCGUUGCAAUAGAAUCUAUUGUAACGGUUCGUAAUCGUUGCAAUAGAUGAAAAUAGGCGUUUCAAUAAGUAAUGAAAUAGUUGUAAUAGGUAGUCAAAAAGCAUUGCAACAGAAUAACAAAAGUGUUACAAUAGCUGCUAUUGCAAUGGUUAGUAACCAUUGCAAUAACAUCUAUUGCGACGGUUCGUAACCGUUGCAAUAGAUGAAAAUAGGCGUCUCAAUAAGUUAAAAAAUAACCAUCGCAACAGAUCUAUCUAUGGCGACGGUUGUCAGAAACCGUCACCAUAGCUCUACCUAUGGCGAUGGUUUACACAACCGUCGCAGAAACCGUUGUCAUAGACCAAUCGCAACGCCCACCUAUGGGACGCUUGCAGAAUCGUUGCGAUAGAUCUAUGGCAACAGUUUAUCUAUCUAUUGCAACGAUUUUGCAACCAUCACUAUAGAUCUAAUUUCUGGUAGUAAUAUGUCCUACAUGUUUGUAGAAUUUAAUUUAUUUGGCAAGCAAUUGUUACGUGACUUCUAAGUUAUUUAGUACAUAUAUCUUUUGAGGUCCUGUUGUAGCUGAUCUUAGCAUUGAUUUUUUUUUUUUUUGAUGAUUGUCAUUUCAAGUAAUUAUAUAGAGAAUUAAAUUAAUAACUUUAUUUGUUUUAUUUUAUGUGAAUUAUGUUGACAUGAUAUAAUUCUUUAAAAAAAAUUAUCAGAAGUGUAACUUAAUUACUAAAUUAAUAUUAUUAAUAAUACUUUGAAACUUUUGAAUAAACAUUUUUUAGGUGCUGAAUGUCCUAAAUUUUGAAACUCAUGCACGUAAAGCUCUUUUAAGAAAUUUUUCAUAGUUUAUUAUGUCGAUUUCAACACGGUAUACUACAACUAAAAGACUCCCUGUAUGUGAAUUCUACCAUAUUAUUAUGAAGUUCGAUCUGGUAAAUUUUAAAAGAUAAAUUUCAGCAUAUUUGUGCUAAAAUUUCAAGAAAAAAUGUUGAAACUCAAUUAAUAUAUAGACCUAUAAUUUUGAUUCCAACUUUCUUAAGAUGAAAAUAGUGAAAAGUCCCCCAGGAACAUCCGAUAAAAUUGAUACUAGACAAGGACGAUUAGCAUGGCCGCUUCGUGAAAGUGAUGACACACACAAAUCGAGAAAUAAAGAUGGUGAAAAAGAAAAAAAGUUGAUCUUUACACUUCUAAGUUUGAUAUAUUUAUCAAAAUAUAACUUCUGCAUAAAAGUGUAGCAAACUUCAAAUAAUUUUAGAAAUAUUUAUUUUUUAAAAUAAAACCACAAAUUUGCCUAAUUGUCAAUUUCGUCAUAUAGUCUCUGGUGUCACAAAUUUGAAAUUAUUAUGGUAUGUAUUAUUAUUAUUGGGUUGAAAAAUAUUAGUACAAAAAUGAAUUUAAGUAUACGACGAGAAGUUGUCCUAAUCAACGUUAUUAGUGAGAUGGUAUUAAAUAUUUUAGAAUAUCAAUUGUUCAUAUAAUUAAAUAAAAGCAAGGUGACCUCACAACUUUCAUGCAUGUUUCUACACUGUCAUUUUUUCAGUAAGUAUAUUGGUAUAUGAAAAAAGAAGAAAAAGAAAGUAAUUGGUAUUCUCAUGCAAAAUCAAUUUCAUUUCACAUUGUCCUCCAUGUUUGUACAUAUGUACUUAAAUUGUAAUAUAGUGGUGAAAAAAAUAAGAGCAAAUAUUACAAAAAGUUCAUCCAACUAUGAAAAAUUAUUUAAUAUUGUAAUGAUACCGUAAAAUUAUUCAAUUAAGUUUUUUUUCUUAUAAAAUUACCCAGUUAAAUUUGUCAUUAAAAAAUAUAAUAUAGUAAAAAUAAAUUAAUUUUUUAUACAGUAUAGUCAUGAACAUCACAACAACGAUAAUAACAACAUAUCCAGUAUAUUCCCAUAAAAUGAGAUCUAGGAAAGGUAGAGCGUUUACACAGUCUGUACCACUACCUCAAAGCUGAGGUAGAGAGGCUGUUUCUGAUAAAUCAUUCGCUCAAGACGGAAUGUCAUCUAGAAAAAAACGCAAUAGAGGUGCAGAAUACAGUAAAAAGUAACAUAACAACAAAUAGCAGCAGAAAAAUCUAUAUACAGGAAAAUAAUAUUAUAAAUGAUCUACCCGAAACGAUAUUUACCCAUAAAAUUUCAUGAUAGCUACAAAAUUCAUUGGUAGCGACAGACAAUUUUUAUAGUAAGUAAUAAAAAUUCAUCGGUAAUACUAUUUAAAAAUAAAUUAUAAAAAAUCUUGUAAACCACAAAACUCUUUAGGGGAAGAUUAGUAAUGAAUAUCGUAACUAAUUUUAUUUUUUCUGCUAACAAAGAGAGAGUCAUGAUUAGAGGCUUUGUAACAUCCUAGCCAGAAGAUGAAAUAAAAUGAUGAUCUUUAGCUUUUUAUAUGAGACGAAUAUUGCAUGAUAAAAACUUUUAUUCACGAAAAAAUACUAGCUUAAUUAUUCAUCCUAGUAUGAUUAACUUGAAUGGAUGAGUAAAAAAUAGUAUAACAAAUCCAGUAUGUGUUUGAUAGAAAAUAAUUUUAUAAAAAAAUAAGUUGUUUUUACUUAUUUUCAUAGAUGAAGUCAGCUAUUAAUGAAAGAUCAUUAACAUUAGUUAGAUAACCUCUUACCUUUUUUUUUUUUGGUAAUAGGGAAUAAAUAUAUAGAUAUUAAACGGUUACAGAUGGGAUAGAAGUAGUAUUAACUUAGAAAAAGUAAGAACUAAUAUUUGUAUUUGUUAUAGUCAUUAUAUUUAUAUGCGAUCAGUUUUGAAAGUUUUUUUUUUUUUUUUUUUAAAAAAAGAACUUAGGAGUUAGUAUAGAUGAGAAGAAUAUCUUGAUUAUUUGACCAAAUAUCUUGAUUAAAUUUUUGCAAUCUAAUAUUGGUAAGUAGAAUAACAAAUUAAUUAACCAAUUCUAGUAUGAUUAACUUGAAUGGAUGAGUAAAAAAUAGUAUAAUAAAUCUAGAAUGUUUUCGAUAGAAAAUAAUUUUAUUAAAAAGCAAGUUGUUUUUACUUAGAUGAAGUCAUCUAUUAAUGAAAUCUCAUUAAUGUUACUCAGAUAACCUCUUACCUUUUUUAUUUUUGUAAUAGGAAAUAGAUUUAUAAAUAUUAAACGGUUAUAGAUGGGAUAGAAGUAGUGUUAAUUUAAA
Molecule: long non-coding RNA, 76169 nt
Filed under: Capsicum annuum
Lineage: Eukaryota; Viridiplantae; Streptophyta; Magnoliopsida; Solanales; Solanaceae
Description: long non-coding RNA (CANN_LNC013254)
Source: RNAcentral